Molecule: long non-coding RNA, 47969 nt
Filed under: Triticum aestivum (bread wheat)
Lineage: Eukaryota; Viridiplantae; Streptophyta; Magnoliopsida; Poales; Poaceae
Description: long non-coding RNA (TAES_LNC028501)
Source: RNAcentral
AGGUUUCAUUCUUAUGCAGGAUCGUUAUGUGAUUGCCUAUGCAUCCCGACAGUUGCAUCCACAUGAGGAUAAUUAUCCUACACAUGAUUUAGAGCUUGCAGCCGUAGUCUAUGCACUUAAGACAUGGCGACAUUACCUUCUCGGUAAACGUUGCGAGAUUUACACCGAUCACCAGAGUCUCAAGUAUAUCUUCACCCAACCAGAUUUGAACCUUAGGCAAAGACGUUGGUUGGAGUUGAUCUCAGAUUAUGACUUAGGGGUUACCUACACCCCAGGCAAGGGCAAUGUCAUGGCUGAUGCGCUAAGUCGUAAGUCCUAUUGCAACAAUCUCAUGUUACAGCAGGGCCAACCACUUCUCCAUGAGGAAUUUAGUAAGCUUAAUCUUCAUGUUGCUCCUCAAGGAUUCCUUUCUACCUUGGUGGCGAAGCCUACUCUUGUGGAUCAGAUCAUCUCUGCUCAAAAGCACGAUACGGGAAUUUCUCGGAUCAAGAGAAACAUUAACAAGGGAGUUGGUGGUAGUUUCACUAUGGAUGACCGAGGUGUUGUUUUCUUUGAGAAUCGCUUAGUGGUUCCCAAGAAUCAACAUCUUCGGCAACUGAUCCUUAAGGAGGCCCAUGAAUCUCCUCUCACGAUUCAUCCCGGUAGUACUAAGAUGUAUCAGGACCUACGCCAGAGGUUUUGGUGGACUAGGAUGAAGAGAGAAAUUGCUCAGUUCAUUGCUAACUGUGACGUUUGUCGUCGUGUUAAGGCAGAACAUCAAAGACCUGCUGGCACCAUUCAGCCUUUAGCUAUUCCUGAGUGGAAAUGGGAUAAGGUUGGUAUGGACUUCAUCACCGGCUUUCCCAGGACCAAGAAAGGGAAUAAUGCUAUCUUCAUAGUCAUUGAUCGUCUUUCCAAAGUGGCUCACUUCCUACCUGUUCGAGAGAGUAUCACUGCUAGUCAGCUCGCUGACUUAUAUAUCUCUCGAAUAGUUUCACUUCAUGGUGUUCCACUAGAGAUCAAUUCAGACCGUGGUAGUCUCUUCACUUCUCAUUUCUAGGAGAGUUUCCAAACUGCCAUGGGCACCCAUCUUUCCUUCAGUACCGCUUUCCACCCUCAGUCAGGUGGUCAGGUGGAACGGGUCAACCAAAUUCUCGAAGACAUGCUUAGAGCUUGCGUUAUCUCAUUCGGUAUGGAUUGGGAGAAGUGUCUUCCUUUCGCCGAGUUUGCUUAUAACAAUAGCAAUCAAUCCAGUCUCAAGAAAGCUCCUUUCGAGAUUCUGUAUGGAUGAAGAUGUCGAACACCUUUGAACUGGUCAGAAACCGGUGAAAGACAAUUCUUUGGACCAGAUAUGAUCCAGGAGGCAGAAGAGCAAGUUCGCAUCAUUCGUGAGAAUUUGAAAACAGCCCAAUCUCGUCAAAAGAGCCAGUAUGACCGUUGUCAUAAGGAAAUGACUUAUGAGGUUGGCGACAAGGCUUACCUUCGGGUUACUCCUUUAAAGGGUACCCAUCAAUUCGGUAUCAAGGGCAAGUUGGCUCCUCGUUAUAUUGGUCCCUUUCUCAUUCUCGCUAAACGAGGAGAGGUUGCCUACCAGUUGGAACUACCCCCACAUCUUUCUCGCGUACAUGAUGUCUUCCACGUCUCUCAACUCAGGCAUUGUUUCUCGGAUCCCAUCCGUGAAGUGGACCACGAAACGCUUGAUCUCCAAGAUAACCUCACGUAUCAAGAGUACCCUAUUCGUAUUCUUGAUCAAGCAGAGCGUGUCACUCGAUGUCAGAACAUCAAGUUUCUCAAGAUUCAGUGGUCUCAUCAUUCCGAUAGAGAAGCUACUUGGGAGCGAGAAGAUCGUCUUCGACUGGAGUACCCCACCUUCUUUCCAUCGACCCCUGAAUCUCGGGACGAGAUUCUUUCAAGUGGGGGUGAGUUGUAACCUCCCUAGUUCUGGUAUGACCUAGACUAGGUAGUCAUGUGAGCAUCAUGUUUAAAUUUAAUUCAUAUCUGAAAUGGGGAUUUGUGAAACCCUCGGAAAUCAUUUCUGGAAUUAACCCAGAUAAAAAUUGCUCCAAAAAGGUCCAAGAAAAUGUUCAUGAUGCUCUCUGAAAAUAUUGGUCACAGGUAAAAUUCAAACCAAUAUUUUUGUGAGCUCAUAAAUAUUUAUUUUGGCCGUUUGGAAUCAAUGCAUAAUUACUUGCAUUGGAUAUAUAUAAAUGAAAUAUUUAUUUAUAUAAGUCCAAUAAAUUCUGAUUUUUAUGUGAGGGGCUCUGGAAUAUUUCAACUAGCUCCUACAAUAAAUUUCAGAAGAAAAUAAAUUGAUUUAGUAUUUUACUAAAUCAGAAAACAAAUUACAGAAAUAGAAAAGAAAAACAAAAAAAGGAAAAACCUUACCUGGGCUAACCUGCGGCCUGGCACUGUGCCGGCCCAGCUGUGCUGGCCCGGCCCACUGCCCACCGCACCGUCCUAAACCUCGCGCCAGUAGGCGAGGCGUGUAUCCGGCGCGCGCGCGCGCUCCGCGAGCCACGCCACCUGCCUGCCUGUCCUCCCCCUCGUCACCUGGAUGCCCCGCGCGACGCCACGCGCCGCCCCGCACCUCUCUCUCUCUCUCUCCCGUGGCCUCCCCUCCUCUCCCUCGCUCUCUCUCACCGUGCCCGAGCGCUGCCGUCGCCGCCGCACGACAUUGCCGCGCGCACCGCCACGGCCUCACCUCCACGACAAGUCCAACAGCUCUGCGCCGUCUUCCUCGUCCUCGACGCCAAGCCACGUGCCUCAGGAGGCCCUGGAGCGCCGCCAUGACCAUCGUCUUCGUCUCCGGCCACCCGAGAUCGCCGUCGCCGUUCCGCUCGCGUUCGACCCUCCCAGAGCUCGCUGACGAUGUCUACGGUCUCCCCGUGAGCUCUACUUCAUUUCCCCUCCUCCCUGUGCUUGUUUUCCCCGCCUAGCUAGCUCAGCUGCCGUGCCCGAGACCUCCUCGCCACCGGCCAUGGCGCCAGGGUGGCCAGAGCCCGAGCCAGCCGCUCCCGCGCGCGUCACCGUGCUCCUGGUGAUGCCAGGAGGCCGUAGAGGCCCCCCGCAGCCCCUGUCGUGCACCGCAGCGCUGUGCCCGCACGCCACCGAACUCUGGCCGCCGCCCCGAGCUCCGCUCCGGCGAGCUCCGGCACCCCCGCAGCCUCCCGUUAGCUCCAAACGACGCGGACGAGCUCCAGCUCCUCGUUUGUGGUCUCCGCCGCCUAAAUGGUCGCCAGAGGGCGAUUCCCGUGCCCCUCCGCCGCGUUCGGCCUCGCCGGCGGCUAACCGCCGGUGGGUUGACUGGGUUUGAGCCCCCAGUUGACCAAAUUUGACGACCCACGGUCAAUGACAUGUGGGGCCCGGCCCUGCUAAUUUUUAGUUUAGGAUUAGUUUAACAACUAAUUAACUCUGUUAAGUAACUAUGACAUGGACGUAUGGACCCCACACGUCAGAUUUGACCUGGACAGCCACGUUGACUCGCUGACGUAGUGAUGACGUCAUGCUGACGCAGUUAUUCAUUUCCUGGAUUUUAUUUAGUCAGGAAAUUCCAGAAAAUGAUAUAAACUUCAAAAAUUCAUAGAAAUUCAACCGUAGCUCAGAUUGAAAUAAUUUAUAUAUGAAAAAUGAUCAGAAAAAUUCAAUCUAUCCAUCUGUGCCAUUUUCAUGCAUGACAAACCAACCUAUACAUACUGUAUUUAUGAAAACACACUUAUGGCAUUUAAAGGGACUUAAAUUAGAGUUGCAUUUGAACCUUUGGUUCAAAUGGACCUCUUCCAAGUUAAAUGCUAAAUGCAUUAGCUCAAAACACAUCACAUAUUCAUGCCAUAUUCAUGCAUCAUAUUGUUGCAUAUGCUUGUGUUUGAUUGUCGACACCGUUCCUUCUCGAUAGGUUCUGCUCCGGAGAGUGCUCCAGAGUACCUGUCUGUGGAGCAGUGCCCCCCUGUUGAUCUACCAGGUAAGCAAACCCCCUUGUUCAUUUCGAUACAAUCCCACUCUCUCGCUCCUGCUCUCGUUUAUUGCAUUAGAACAACAACGAUUCAACUGCUACUUUAUGCUGCGGUAGUUGAACCCAUUCCUCGGCAUGACCUGUCAUUGCCCCAGUAAAUAGUUAAAACCCACUAGCAUGUGUAGGAGUUGAUUGAGCCAUGUUGUGUUCCUACCAUGCCAUGCCUGCUAUUGCCUAGAGUUGUGUCAGGUCUAAUUCAUCGGGAAUGCAUUGGAGUGUUACGAUAUGUUCUGGUACUGAGAGUUAAGCGUGUGAACACGAUUUGGUAAAGGUAGCGGUGAGGGGCCAUGUAGGAGUACAUGGUGGGUUGUCUCACUGGAACCGUCCUUAAGCACUGAGUUCUGUGUAUGUUGUCCAAUGACUAGUUACUACCACACAUUGGGCUCCGGGCGCUCCAAGCUCUCUCGACUUAUUAACCAACUUGAUCUAUGUCCAGGAGUUGCAAAUAGUUUCUAGUGUUUGUAGGUAGUGGUAGUAGUCUACCAAGUGGCACCCGGCCAGGUGGGCUUGGGACAGACUAGGCACAGUGGCACGGUGUACCAAGUGGCACCCGGAUGGUGGGCUUGGGAACCCUGCUCACAUCGUUUGGGGUCGUGAGCGACACCCCGGCCGGAUCUCCUUGCAGAUGGAACCCGAAUAGGCGAUAAACCUGGAUGAGAGAAUUGUGUGGUUAGUCAGGUCGUGGCCGACACCCUCGCUGGGCUUCCGCUUGAAGGUUGCCGAGUACACGUCGUGUAAACGGCGAUAAGUGGUGAGAGCGUGUGUGAAGAAGUACACCCUUGCAGGGUUUUCAUGAUCUAUUCGAAUAGCCGGGUCCGCGGUUAUGGACUUCUUGGAUGCUUACGUGGUACAUAGACAACUUGAAGUGGAUACUCUAAAAUGCUCAAGAUAAGUGUGAGUGCUAUGGAUGGCUUCUCGUAGUGAGACGGGAAUGAAUCCAUAGUGGUGUAUUGAGGUGGUGAUUAGUGGACUCAUGUGCGCUUUCUUACCUCAAAGAAGUUACUCGUAGUCGUAGAAUAGGUUAGCCACUGAGUCAAAGCUGGCUUGCUGCAACUGAACCCCACAUUGCCUCCUUGAUACUAUUGCAUGUAUGAUAGGAUCUCAUGUACGUCUUGCUGAGUACCUUUGUACUCACGUUGCUUAAUUUAUGUUUUUGCAUAUGAGACUUCUCUCUCAGUAGUAGUUCUGCAUGGACUUCGACGACUAGCUUGUUACCUCAGCUACAGUCUUGUACCCUUGGGAGGGUCUUGUAGAUAGUCAGGCUUCUCAGCUUUUUCUUUUGUAGUUGUCUGUACUCAGACAUGUAAUGCUUCUGUUGCUUGUAUGCUCUGAAUGAUGGGUCAUGUGACCCCUGCUUGUAAUACUGCUAUGUGGCUCUUCUGGGCCUUUAUCUAUAUGAGUUUGCGUUAUGUUGUGAUGCCAUGUUGUACAACACAUACUUGCAUGUUAUGCGUACGUGUAACGUGUAUUGCUAUGUGUGGGAUCCGACAACCUAGUUGUCUAUCCUUGGUAGCCUCUCUUAUGGGGAAAUGUAGUCUAGUGCUUCCACCGAGCCAUGGUAGUCCGCUACAGCCCGGUUUACCGGAGUCCUGCUAGCCCAACACUACUGCUUCGGAACACUUAGACUUGCCGGCAUGUGAUUCACUUCGUUCCUGUGUCUGUCCCUUCGGGGAAAUGUCACGCGGUGACAUCCGGAGUCCUGCCUAGCCUGCUACAACUCGGGUUCCCGGAGUCCUGUUAGCCCAGUUGCUACAGCCCGGAUUCACACGCUACUGACCGGCAUGCUCGAUGUUGUUUCAUGUAUGUGUGUCCCCAUAAGUUAGUGCCAGUUUGGGUUCAUGACUAGUCAUGUCGGCCCGGGUUCUCUGUCAUAUGGAUGCUAGCGACACUAUCAUAUACGUGAGCCAAAAGGCGCAAACGGUCCCGGGCCAUGGUAAGGCGACACCCGUGGGAAUACCGUGCAUGAGGCCGCAAAGUGAUAUGAGGUGUUACAUGCUAGAUCCGUGUGACUUAGAAUCGGGGUCCCGGCAACAGGCUUCACCGCAAGUCUGUAUAAAACUAUAUGCUUUGAUCAACUUAUCAAAGUGUAUGUUCCAACUCCGAGAUGCUUGCACCAGUCCAGAGAUGGAUCGCUGGAGCUUGCACAUUUUGUUAGCACCUUUAGGACUGACAAAACCUUCUGGUUGCAUCAUAUACAACUCUUCUUUAAAGAACCCAUUGAGGAAUGCAGUUUUGACAUCCAUUUGCCAGAUUUCAUAAAAUGUGGCGAUUGCUAACUUGAUUCGGACAGACUUAAGCAUCGAUACGAGUGAGAAAAUCUCAUUGUUGUCAACACCUUGAACUUUGUCAAAAACCUUUUGCGACAAUUCGAACUUUGUAGAUAGUAACACUACCAUCAGUGUCCGUCUUCCUCUUGAAGAUCCAUUUAUUCUCAAUGGCUUGCCGAUCAUCGGGCAAGUCUACCAAAAUCCAUACUUUGUUCUCAUACAUGAAUCCCUUCUCAGAUUUCAUGGCCUCAAGCCAUUUUGUGGAAUCUGGGCUCAUCAUCGCUUCUUCAUAGUUCGUAUGAUCGUCAUGGUCUAGUAACAUGACUUCCAGAACCGGAUUAUCGUACCACUCUGGUGCGGACCGUACUCUGGUUGACCUACAAGGUUCGGUAGUAACUUCAUCUGAAGUAUCAUGAUCAUCACCAUUAGCUUCCUCACUAAUUGGUGUAGGAAUCACUUGAACUGAUUUAUGUGAUGAACUACUUUCCAAUUCGGGAGAAGGUACAGUUACCUCAUCAAGUUCUACUUUCCUCCCACUCACUUCUUUCGAGAGAAACUCCUUCUCUAGAAAGGAUCCAUUCUUUAGCAACAAAUGUCUUGCCUUUGGAUCUGUGAUCGAAGGUGUACCCAACAGUUUCUUUUGGGUAUCCAAUGAAGAUGCACUUCUCUGAUUUAGGUUCGAGCUUAUCAAGUUGAAGCUUUUUCACAUAAGCAUCGCAGCCCCAAACUUUAAGAAAUGACGGCUUAGGUUUCUUGCUAAACCACAGUUCAUACGGUGUCAUCUCAACGGAUUUUUAGACGGUGCCCUAUUUAACGUGAAUGCAGUUGUCUCUAAUGCAUACCCCCAAAACGAUAGUGGUUAAUCGGUAAGAGACAUCAUAAAUCGCACCAUAUCUAAUAAAGUACAGUUAGGACGUUCGGACACACCAUUAGGCUAUGGUGUUCCAGGUGGCAUGAGUUUGUGAAACUAUUCCACAUUGUUUUAAUUGAAGGCCAAACUCGUAACUCAAAUAUUCACUUCCACGAUUAGAUCGUAGAAACUUUAUUUUCUUGUUACGAUGAUUUUCCACUUCACUCUGAAAUUCUUUGAACUUUUCAAAUGUUUCAGACUUAUGUUUCAUCAAGUAGAUAUAUCCAUAUCUGCUCAAAUCAUCUACGAAGGUCAGAAAAUAACGAUACCUGCCGCGAGCCUCAACACACAUCGGACCGCAUACAUCAGUAUGUAUUAUUUCCAACAAGUCUAUUGCUCGCUCCAUUGUUCCGGAGAACGGAUUCUUAGUCAUCUUGCCCAUGAGGCAUGGUUCGCAAGCAUCAAGUGAUUCCAAAAGCCCAUCAACAUGGAGUUUCUUCAUGCGCUUUACACCAAUAUGAUCUAAACGGCAGUGCCACAAAUAAGUUGCACUAUCAUUAUUAAACUUAUAUCUUUUAGCAUCAAUAUUAUGUGUAUCACUGUGAUCGAGAUUCAGUAAACCAUUUACAUUGGAUGUAAGACCAUAGAAGGUUUUAUUCAUGUAAACAGAACAACAAUUAUUCUCUGACUUAAAUGAAUAACCAUAUCGCAAUAAACAUGAUCCAAUCAUAUUUAUGCUCAACGCAAACACCAAAUAACAUUUAUUUAGUUACAAUACUAAUCCUGAAGGAAAAAGGGAGUGUGCGAUGGUGAUCUUUAUCAAUAUUGGAAUCACUUCCAACACACAUCAUUACCUCGCCCUUAACUAGUCUCUAUUUAUUUUGCAACUCCAGUUUCGAGUUACUAGUCUUAGCAACUGAACCAGUAUCAAAUACCGAGGGGUUGCUAUAAACACUAGUAAAGUACACAUCAAUAACAUGUAUAUCAAAUAUACCUUUGUUCACUUUGCCAUCCUUCUUAUCCGCCAAGUAUCUAGGGCAGUUCUGCUUCCAAUGACCAUUUCCUUUGCAGUAGAAGCACUCAGUUUCAGGCUUAGGUCCAGACUUGGGCUUCUUCACUUGAGCGGCAACUUGCUUGCCGUUCUUCUUGAAGUUCGCCUUCUUCCUUUUGUCCUUUUCCUUGAAACUAGUGGUCUCGUUAAACAUCAACACUUGACACUCUUUCUUGAUUUCUACCUUCGCCGGUUUUAACAUCACGAAGAGCUCGGGGAUUGUGUUCGUCAUCCCUUGCAUAUUAUAGUUCAUCACGAAGUUCCAGUAACUUGGUGAUAGUGUCUAGAGAACUCUGUCAAUCACUCUCUUAUCUGGAAGAUUAACUCCCACUUGAUUCAGGCGAUUGUAGUACUCAGACAUUCUGAGCACAUGCUCACUGGUUGAGCUAUUCUCCUCCAUCUUGUAGGCAAAAUAGAAGUCUCAUACCUCUCGACACGGGCAUGAGACUGAAAUACCAAUUUCAUCUCUUGGAACAUCUCAUAUGCUCCGUGGCGUUCAAAACGUUUUUGAAGUCCCGGUUUUAAGCCGUAAAGCAUGGUGCACUAAACUAUCAAGUAGUCAUCAUACCGAGCUUUGUCAAACGUUCAUAACGUCUGCAUCUGCUCCUGCAAUAGGUCCGUCACCUAGCGGUGCAUCAAGGACAUAAUUUUUCUGUGCAGCAAUGAGGAAAAUCCUCAGAUCAGGGACCAAGUGCACAUCAUUGCUACUAUCAUCUUUCAACUUAUAUUUCUCUAGGAACAUAUAAAAAUAAACGGGGAGCUACAUCGUGAGCUAUUGAUCUACAACAUAGAUAUGCUAAUACUACCAGGACUAAGUUCAUGAUAAAUUAAAGUUCAAUUAAUCAUAUUACUUAAGAACUCCCACUUAGAUAGACAUCCCUCCAGUCAUCUAAAUGAUCACGUGAUCCAAAUCAACUAAACCAUGUCCGAUCAUCACGUGAGAUGGAGUAGCUUUCAAUGGUGAACAUCACUAUGUUGAUCAUAUCUACUAUAUGAUCCACGCUCGUUCUUUCGGUCUCAGUGUUCCGAGGCCAUAUCUGCAUAUGCUAGGCUCGUCAAGUUUAACCCGAGUAUUCUGCGUGUGCAAAACUGGCUUGCACCCGUUGUAUGUGAACGUAGAGCUUAUCACACCUGAUCAUCACGUGGUGUCUCGGCACGACGAACUGUCACAACGGUGCAUACUCAGGGAGAACACUUGUACCUUGAAAUUUAGUGAGGGGUCAUCUUAUAAUGCUACUGCCGUACUAAGAAAAAUAAGAUGCAUAAAGGGUAAAUAUCACAUGCAAUCAAAAUAAGUGAUAUGAUAUGGCCACCAUCAUCUUGUGCCUUUGAUCUCCAUCUCCAAAGCACCGUCAAGAUCACCAUCGUCACCGGCUUGACACCCUGAUCUCCAUCGAAGCAUCGUUUUCGUCUCGCCAACUAUUGCUUCUACGACUAUCGCUACCGCUUAGUGAUAAAGUAAAGCAAUUACAUGGCGAUUGCAUUUCAUACAAUAAAGCGACAACCAUAAGGCUCCUACCAGUUGCCGAUAACUUUUACAAAACAUGAUCAUCUCAUACAACAGUUUAUAUAUCAUCACGUCUUGACCAUAUCACAUCACAGCAAGCCUUGCAAAAACAAGUUAGACGUCCUCUACUUUGUUGUUGCAAGUUUUACGUGGCUGCUACGGGCUUAGCAAGAACCGUUCUUACCUACGCAUCAAAACCACAACGAUUUUUCGUCAAGUGUGCUAUUUUAACCUUCAACAAGGACCCGGCGUAGCCACACUCGAUUCAACUAAAGAUGGAGAAACAGACACCCACUAGCACCUGUGUGCGAAGCACGUCGGUAGAACCAGUCUCAUGAACGCAGUCAUGUAAUGUCGGUCUAGGCCGCUUCAUCCAACAAUACCGCAGAAUCAAAGUAUGACAUGCUGGUAAGCAGUAUGACUAUUAUCGCCCACAACUCUUUGUGUUCUACUCGUGCAUAUAACAUCUACGCAUAGACCUGGCUCAGAUGCCACUGUUGGGGAACGCAUAGAUCUAGGAGAAGCAUAGCAACGAGCGGGGAGAGUGUGUCCACGUACCCUCAUAGACCGAAAGCGGAAGCGUUAUAUCAGCGCGGUUGAUGUAGUCGUACGUCUUCACGAUCCGAUCGAUCCUAGCACCGAACGUACGGCACCUCCAUGUUCAGCACACGUUCAGCUCGAUGACGUCCCUCGUACUCUUGAUCCAGUUGAGGCUGAGGGAGAGUUCCGUCAGCACGACGGCGUGGCGACGGUGAUGAUGAAGUUACCGGCGCAGGGCUUCGCCUAAGCACUACGACGAUAUGACCGAGGUGUGUAACUGUGGAGGGGGUCACCGCACACAGCUAAGAGAUUGUCUAUUUUCCUUUGGGAUGCCCCCUUGGCCACGUAUAUAAAGGAGGGAGGCGGAGGAGGCCGGCCUAGGAGGGGAGAGAGGGAAGGAGUAGGAGAGGGAGAAGGAAAGAGAGGGGGGCGCCGCCCCCUCCCUAAUCCAAUUCGGACUUGCCAUGGGGCGCGCGACCACCCCUUGAGGCCCUUCUCUCCUUUCCCGUAUGGCCCAUUAAGGCCCACUAUUUCCCCCAGCGAAUUCCCGUAACUCUCCGGUACUCCGAAAAAUACUCGAAUCACUCGGAACCUUUCCGAUGUCCGAAUAUAGCCUUCCAAUAUAUCGAUCUUUACCUCUCGACCAUUUCAAGACUCCUCGUCAUGUCCGUGAUCUCAUCUGGGACUCCGAACAAACUUCGGUCAUCAAAUCACAUAACUCAUAAUACAAAUCGUCAUCGAACGUUAAGCGUGCGGAUCCUACGGGUUCGAGAACUAUGUAGACAUGACCGAGACACAUCUCCGGUCAAUAACCGAUAGCAGAACCUGGAUGCUCAUAUUGGCUCCUACAUAUUCUACGAAGAUCUUUAUCGGUCAAACCGCAUAACAGCAUACGUUGUUCCCUUUGUCAGGCACGUCCUCACCGUCAGCCUCGACACCGCCCGCGUCGCUCUCCUCCUCCGGCUUCGCCGCCAUCUGCUACUGUUGCUACUUGUCGCUGCUCAUACACAACCCAUACACCAGCCAGAUACGAGUUGGACAUAGUCUAUACAUUAGACAGACACAAGCCAGACAAUUGCCAUAUAUUACCCAGAUAAUGGUCAUGCAUGACAUGGCCUCCGCUCUUUUCCGCCCGCACAGGCUCGCGACCGCGCGUCCGUCCGGCUCCAAGCAGCCUCCUGCCUGCGGCCCGCGUCCGCACCGCUNNNNNNNNNNNNNNNNNNNNNNNNNNNNNNNNNNNNNNNNNNNNNNNNNNNNNNNNNNNNNNNNNNNNNNNNNNNNNNNNNNNNNNNNNNNNNNNNNNNNNNNNNNNNNNNNNNNNNNNNNNNNNNNNNNNNNNNNNNNNNNNNNNNNNNNNNNNNNNNNNNNNNNNNNNNNNNNNNNNNNNNNNNNNNNNNNNNNNNNNNNNNNNNNNNNNNNNNNNNNNNNNNNNNNNNNNNNNNNNNNNNNNNNNNNNNNNNNNNNNNNNNNNNNNNNNNNNNNNNNNNNNNNNNNNNNNNNNNNNNNNNNNNNNNNNNUCUCUCGUUCUCCCAAUUGUUCUUCCUUUUUUCUUAAUAUAGUGCGGAAAAUGGGCCGGACUGACUAUUGUAUCCCGUCAGCAAGACAUCCCUACAGUCUCGCUCAAGGCGAGAUAUAGUCGCCGCACGACCCUAUGUCUCAGAUUCAGUGAGAUACACAAACACACAAUAGCCUCAUUUUCUGUUUUGUUUUCUUUCACAUUUUUUGUUUUGUUUUUUUGCUUCUUUUAUAUUUCAAAAUAUUCUAGAUAAAUAUAUUACAAAAAUCAUUGUAAAUAAAACAUUAAAAAAAUGUUGACCAAGCAUAUUAAAAGUGUUAAAUAUAUAUAGAGACAAUGUCUAUCACAUAUACAAAAAAUGUAUAAAAAAUAAAAUGUGUAUGAAACAAUGUAAUCAUGUAUUUAAAAAAGUUAAUCAAGCAUUUUCAAAAGAUGUUGAAGAAGUGUUUAAAAAUGUUAAGCAAGCAUUUGGAAAAUGUUAAUUGUGUAUAGAUUUUUUUGCCAUGUAUUAAAAAAUGAUAAAAAAUCUGCAUGUAUAUAAAAAAUUAUAUCAAGAAUUUAGAAAACUAUUGAAAUAUUAUUUGAAAAAUGUAAAUGUGUAUAGAAUAAAUGUUAACUAUGUAUUAAAAUGAUGAAAUUUUAUUGAUCAUUUAUAGGCUGCGUCCACGGGGACCUUUUUCCCCUUAAUCACUGUUUGAUAACCGGAGUGGGGAAGAACGGUGGUGCCGUAUGAUACGGGGCUACCGCGUGUAUGCACAUAUCUGUACCGGCUCUGCCCACAAAUAGAAAUAUGAAAAGUAGCAUUGAUGUGCGCUAGUGGGGAAUCCAGACUCCGUGGGAAGGCCUUAAUCCUAUUGAUUUUGACAUUCUACUUUACGUCCCCUGUUACUAAAUUCUAUUUCAGUAUUUUUACCUUUAUCCUCGCUACCCCGUUUUCACCAUUUUACUACUACGCCGGAUUUCCUACAAAUUGCAGGCAUGGCUAUUUAAAAAGUAAAUGUGGAUGUCUGGGUAGUGCACCCACUAGAUUAAUUACACAUGUAAUCCGCCAACACUAAAUGCAAAUUUGCAACACACUUAUCUAUAUAUUAAAUGAGGGCAUAUCCUAGCAUGAUAUGGUCAGUCUUAUUAAUGCUUUAACAAAUAUACCAAUCUUAGAAAAUCAAUUUUAGCAGAAAAAAUUAGCCCGCGAGCAUUCAAUAUGGUUACCGGAUAUCGCAAGGCCAUCCAUAAGAUUUAAGAUCUUAUCCAACAAACUAAAUCUACAUGUAGAUUUGUUGGAUGGAGAGAUCUGGUAUUUAAGUGUGCUCACCACCAUAGCCCAUAUAAAAAACCAUGUGGUGUAGAAGUCUUGCAUAACCAAAGAUUGAUCAACACACCUGCCUAGUGUUAACAUCUUCCACAAGAAAGAUGGCUAGUUCUAAAGUAAUGUGGGUGUUCUGCCUCCUAGCUUUACUGGCUUUCACUUCUUGUUCUUAUCAUGUACGAGCAGAAGAUCAUGCCACUAAGGAGAAAAAUGAGGUGAUGGAGUAUUGCAAGAGGUACAUAUUCAAAAAUUACGGCGAUCAGUUUCCUGACCCCCACAGGAAAUGUUGCCAAACAGUAAGAGAAUCAAGACACAUCCAUGCUAUACGCCAGAAAUUCACGCACGCGGAUUUGCAUAAGAUCAGUCUAGCCAAGUGGCUCAUGUUACAUAUUGGUGUGGCAACAGAUUGCACCCAGGGACUAAUUGCGCAGGUGUGUUAAUNNNNNNNNNNNNNNNNNNNNNNNNNNNNNNNNNNNNNNNNNNNNNNNNNNNNNNNNNNNNNNNNNNNNNNNNNNNNNNNNNNNNNNNNNNNNNNNNNNNNNNNNNNNNNNNNNNNNNNNNNNNNNNNNNNNNNNNNNNNNNNNNNNNNNNNNNNNNNNNNNNNNNNNNNNNNNNNNNNNNNNNNNNNNNNNNNNNNNNNNNNNNNNNNNNNNNNNNNNNNNNNNNNNNNNNNNNNNNNNNNNNNNNNNNNNNNNNNNNNNNNNNNNNNNNNNNNNNNNNNNNNNNNNNNNNNNNNNNNNNNNNNNNNNNNNNNNNNNNNNNNNNNNNNNNNNNNNNNNNNNNNNNNNNNNNNNNNNNNNNNNNNNNNNNNNNNNNNNNNNNNNNNNNNNNNNNNNNNNNNNNNNNNNNNNNNNNNNNNNNNNNNNNAUAGCAUUUUGAUGUAAUUUCCAAGCUUAUCUUCAUGAAAUUAAUUACUUACGAGGAACACAAUCUCAUAUGUAGGUUUCAUCGUUCCAGAUUAUAGUGCGCCACCACCUCCAGAACACUAAACGUAAGGCCGGUCCGGUCAAAUAAGGAAAGGAGUGUUAUAAUAUGGAGCACUUAGUCUAAGGCAGUCUUAUCGAACAAAGGAAGGGAUGCUAUGAUAUUGAUGCUUUAUCAUAGGACCUCUGCAAUAAUGUAUCUUACUUUUAAUUUUAUGACUAAUAAAAGGACUGCCCGCAUGUUCUCUUUGUGUUUAGUAUGAUAUUUAGUUGUCCAUUGACAUACAUGGCCUCAAGCAAUGACUUUCACUUCUGAUAAAAUAGACUGCUGAAUUAAAUCCAAAGUCUUGUAAACAAACAUAGCUUGUUCUAUUCCUAAUAAUCACUAUAAUAAACACUAAUAAAUAAUUUGUGUUUGUCGAAUGGCAUGGUCUUUGCCGAGCAUUUUAUGGGAUAUUGGUAGACCACCUAUUUGUCGAGAACCACACUCGGUAAAAGCAAGCACUUGAUAGUCUUUAGUUCGUCGAGAGCUAUGAGAAAAAUACCCGGCAACCCCAAAACACUCGGCCAAUGCAACUUUUGAUGAGAGCUCGUGACAUGGUACUCGACAACUAGGAGCCAUGUGGCACAGCCGUCCAAGGUUGAAGGCUCUGUGACACUAAUGCGUCCCCAGACACGAGGCUAUGAUUUGCCGGCAAUUUGGGACCACUUAACCGGCGCCUUCAGUGUCAGUUGGUGUUUCCUACGCCCACGCAGUUGACAGUAUGGGCCGGCCCACCACAAGGCGAGGCGGACCGCGCCUCUUCGUAUGCUUUUGUUGACCGGUUGACAGUUGACCAGUUGGCCGGUCAACCAUUGACUUUUGAAUUAAAAAACGAAAAGUUUUUCAAAAAUGUUCAUGGAUUUUGGAAAAAUAAACUAAAAAAAUAAAAAAACCACAAAUUUGAAAAAAAAACACUCAUAAAUUUUGAAAAAAGUCCACGAAUUGGAAAAAAAUCAUCGAUGCAUAUGAUCGCUAGCUUUUCCUCGAAAGAAAUUUUGAUAGUUAGCUUCGAAGAGUGACACCAUUUUGAGGGCCUAGCUUAAAAUUCUGAUCGCUAGCUUCGUUUGUGUUUUAGCACUGAUCGCUAGGUUCUUUUUUUCUUUCUUUUAGAUACCGAUCGCUAGCUUUGUGCUAACCGGUAGCCUACUAGCACAGACGAGCGGUUGAACAUAUAGGCCAGCCCACCCUGGUAGGAGUGCAGGACAUGCGGACGAGCUGGUUUAUUUGUUUUGGGUUUUAACAAAUCAAACAAACAAUGAGGAAGUGAGGUGACGCUGACAUCUCUACUCCUAAGGGAGCUGUUGGUAGUCUCGCUUUCAGGUAUUUUUUAGUCCCACCUCCCACGGUUUAUUUUGGUACCUCUUCCCACCUCUGACUAAGACAUCACAAACCGAAAAAACCUCCUCCUGAGGCCCGAACCCGCACCUAUCCACAUGCGACCCUCAAAAGACGUACGAAGGUUAACCUGCGACAAAAAAACCUACGACGGUCAACCAGCGACGAGUCCUGUUCUCGAGCGAGGCCCCCCUUCGUGGCCGCCCUACAUCCCUGCGCCGCCGCGCUUCAGUCGCUGCCCUCCAUCCUCGCCGUCCUCCAUCCUGGUCGAGGUCGCCGCCCCGCUUCACUCGCCGUCCUCCAUCCGCGUCGAUCCUGGACAAGGUCGCCGCGGCCCUCCAUCACUUCGCCGCCGCGCUGAACACCUCGACGAUCCGGCGCGGGUCCUGGAUCAGGUCGCCGCCGCCCUCCAUCACUUCGCCGCCGCGCUGAACUCCUCGCCCUUGAUCCAGGAUAUCCGGCGCCGAUCCUGGACGAGGAUAAGCGGACACGUCCAGGAUCCGGCCAGAACACGUCCUGGAUCCGAAAAAUAGGUAUACAAACCAUCUCAUACGUCAAUCGCAUCUCAUACAUCUCAAAUGCCAUACAAUCGCAUCUCAUACAUCUCACAGCCCAUACAUCCAUCGCAUGUCAUACAGCCAUGGCAAGUGCUUUCACAGGGAUGGAUCCGCCUGCGAGAUUGAUUUCUGUUCUACACAGUUUAGGUUUUUUUCCAUGUUAAAACUAGACUCAAGUACACAUGUUUACAGAUGGCAAUUGGCAAAAAAAAUUACCAAGGGGUAUCCUGCAUCCUGCACUUGUAUAACUAUGGCAAAAAAGAAAACACAAACCAUACAGGACCCUAGAGUAUGUUUCCACUUGUGCUGAGAUGUAGAAGAUGUAGAUGAAAGUGCCAUUGCAGUAUUUAUGUAGAAUAAAAUACAAUUGCAGUAUAUGCUAGCAACAGGUUGCAGUAUAUAUGUAGAACAAUAACCCUUCCAGAAUGUCAUCAAAUAACUACCAUUUCUGUCUUCAUGAUUUUUGCCAUUCAAUAGUUGCAUAUGGGGAAUUCAAAAAGCACGGUUGGCGAACAUCAACCUGAAGAUGACGUAACUACAGGUAUGAUGCACUCUACCAUGUUUUCGUUUAGUUGCGAGACCUGAAUAUAUGACAGUAUGCAUAAUGUCUUCCAGGUCUUACAAGCGGGAGAAGUGAUGCAGAACACAAUGCGAGCAUCAUACCCGUAGCUGAAAUUGUUGAUAACGUCUACUCGACGGAAUCAGGUAUAAUACUGUCCGGAGAUUGGUUAUAAAUGUUGCUUCACGUCCAUUUCUGAAAGUGGCAGAAUGCAUUAUGUGUUGCAGUCCUUACGGGCGGGAUAAAUGUUGGAGACUACAAUGCAAACUUCAUACCCUUACAUGCAGGUAUAAGACUGUGUCAAGAUUAUUGCUGCUAAUGUUUCGUGCAUACCGUAUAUUUUGUUGAUUGCUAAGAUGUAGGGCGGGAACCUUCAAACGACGGGAUUCCGCCGUAUUCUGAGAAUAAUAAGGAUGGUACGACUAAGCUACAAGAUGAUACUCAAGGUAUUCACAGGCAUGCUUAUACAGCUUCCAAAUCGACAUCUCCCAGAUGAGCUUAAUGGGCUUUGUGGUUUUUACGCUUAACGUAAUGCAGAUGACAAAACUUCCGAGCAGCAUGCAACAGUAGCUGUAUUUAAUGAAGAAAAAAAACGUUGGCGAAACAAGGGAGUAGUUCAACGCACAGAGGCGUGAAUCUUAUCGGAAGAAAAAAGAGGAGGAUAUGGUCAGGUUACAAGAGUAUAAUCAGCCAUCCCUUUCAAAGACUGGUAAGUAUUUAAGCGUGAUUUUGCUGACUACUCUUGGUUUUUUCUGACUACCUAUAGUAUGCAAAUUAAUCGUUAUAGUAACCUGACUUCAUAGAUGUUCCCCGUGUUGGUUUCAUAGAUGUUGUAUCAACAUCGAUACUUUUUUUGUUCUCUAACUCUCAUACCUAUUGUAAAAAUGGUAGACCAUAGGGAUCUUAUCAACGCGUGGAGGCGGGCAUCUUAUCGCACUAAGAAGUCAGAUGGUUUUAUAAACCAUCUAGACGAUGGGCCGAUUGUUCACCGCCGUACCCAACCAUAACUCAUCGUAAGGUGGCCACCAAGCAAUUAGACCAGGAUGUCGUGAAGAAGUUAGUAGACAUACUCAAAGAAAACCCGUACUCCCAGCAAUUUAGGAGUUUGGGUGCACACAAGGACAACCUCGAUGAUUAUAGGAUAGACCUAAACACCGAUAAGAGGCUUGACCAAAGAAGAUAUAAUAGACCAUUGUCAUCUGAGGUCGCUGCAAUUUGGGUUGAGGGCAACGACCUAGCAAAAAGGUUUGACCGGAGGAUAACACUUUGUGGUAACAACAACGAAAGGCAUAGUAUACGUGUGACCUCCGGAGCAUAUGACCCGUUGUCUUAUCCCCUAUUCUAUCCAAGGGGGGAGCUAGGUUGGCAUCCAAAGCUACUUAAACGUAAUGUAAUGGAGGAGGUUGUACUACAUUCUCAACUGGUCCAUGAUGAUGAUGAGGAUGCAGGUAUGCCGUCUGCGUCCCAUUUUGCUACAAAUAAUAUCUUAUUUCUCGAAUAUAUCCUCAUUUUGAUGGUACUCAAUCAUGUGCAAAGGGCAACAGCAGGUUGUGCGUCUCUGUCAGAGACUACUACUGUUACAUGCUGCAGACACGGCCUGGAAUCUUCAAUCCCAUACUCUGUGGAGCACGCCUCUUGCAGCAAUGGGCGGUCGACAUGUACGUCAAGAUUGAAAGUUGACGGUUGAGGUGGUACAGGAAAAACCAGACGCAGAUUCGUGCCGACUUGUAUAAAGGAGUUGUUGAUGCAAUCACAUCGGGGGAGACGCGAGCAAGCGCUGUUGGGGUAAGAAUAGUGCUCCCUGGAACAUACCCUGGUGGCGACCGCGACAUGAAGAAGAGGCAUAUGGAUGCCAUGCCAAUUGUCCAUACAUACGGGAAGCCUGACAUCUUCUUGACCAUGACUUGCAAUCCUAAAUGGGAAGAGAUAACGAAUGAGUUGCUGUCUGGUCAGACGGCGCAAGACCGACCUGAUAUUGUGGCUCGCGUGUUCUACGGCAAGCUAGAGGCUAUGAAGGACAUGUUGUUCAAGAAGCAUAUCCUGGGUGUUGUUGUCGCAUAUGUAUACGUAGUCGAGUUCCAAAAAAGGGGCCUCCCCCACGCACAUUUUUUGUUGAUCAUGGACUCUAAAUAUAAGCUUAUCGUCCCGGAGCAGUAUGACCGACUCAUUUCCACAGAGCUCCCAGACAAGCAUAAGUAUCCGGAAUUGUAUGCUAUGGUGGUAAAACAUAUGAUGCACGGACCAUGCGGUGCUCUCAACCCGAAAAAUGUUUGCAUGCAAGAAAACAGAUGCAAGUGCAGAUACCCACGGCCGUUCAAUGAAAACACAUCACAGGGGAAGGACUCGUACCCAAUUUAUUGGCGUAGAGACGAUGGAAGGCAUGCUAAGGUCCGAGGGAAGAUGUUGGACAACAGAUGGGUUGUGCCUUAUAACCCAUACCUGCUGCGGAUGUUCAAUUGCCACAUCAACGUUGAGGUCUGCUCCAGCAUAAAGGCCGUCAAAUAUCUUUACAAGUACAUUUACAAGGGCCAUGAUAAGGCUUCUUUCAGCAUCGACCAUCCCGACGCCGAUGGUAACAUUGAUGAGAUCAAGAGAUACGUUGAUGCAAGGUGGAUCACCCCUCCGGAGGCUAUGUGGAGGAUAUUUGGCUUUCCACUUUGCGCCAAUUACCCACCUGUCUUGCAGUUGCCUCUUCAUCUCCCGAAUAUGCACAGGGUCGCAUUCAAUGCGCAGGUUGACUUGAAGAAUGUUGUCGCCUCCGAAAAUAAUUCAAAAUCCAUGUUAACGGAGUAUUUCAAGGCUAACCAGGAACACCCUCGGGCUAGGCAUAUAUUGUACAAGGAUUUUCCCGGAAGCUUCACGUGGCAGAAGAAAAAGAAGUUUUGGAAGCCGCGGGUCGAGCGUUUUCAAAUAGGUCGCAUCGUGUCUGCCAAUCCUGCCAAGGGUGACCGAUACUACCUGCGUGUGUUGCUAAACCAUGUUACGGGCAAAACAUCCUUUGACGACUUGCUCACCGUGGACGGCGUUCUAUGUGGGAGCUUUAGAGAAGCUGCUGAAAGGUUGGGACUCAUCGAGGCAGACAACACGCUCGACAACUGUCUUACUGAGGCUGAGCAGUGGGCGAUGCCAUGUUCUCUUAGGAGGCUCUUCGCAACCAUCUUGGUGCACUGAGAGCCAAGCGACGUGCGUGGUUUAUGGGAUAGGCACCUCGAUCCUAUGUUAGAUGACUAUCGUCGAUCACGCACGUCCCCUAUCGAGGUGGAGCAGAUGGUGUUGCUUGACAUUAGGGGUAUGUUGCAGUCCAUGGGUAAAGACAUUGUUGAUUUCGCUCUUCCAAGCAUAGAUGAUGCGUUUGACCCAACCGAGGGUGAGGCAAGAGAGGUCAUCGAGGAAUCAACUGUUGAGUUUGACGUGGAUGAUACUAAAUUGGCAUCUUCCCUGAACUUGGAGCAGAGGGCCGCAUACGACGAGAUACUAGCGGCUGUUGAACGCGGUGAUGGGGGUGUAUUCUUUGUUGAUGGCCCUGGAGGUACAGGGAAGACCUUUCUAUACAGGGCGAUGCUUGCCAAGGUGAGGAGCGAUGGCAAUAUUGGUAUCGCUACCGCGACGUCGGGCGUCGCCGCUUCUAUCAUGCCUGGCGGCAGAACUGCCCACUCGAGGUUCAAGAUCCCAUUGAGUUGCGAUGAUGGAGCCUCGUGCAGCUUCACGAAGCAGAGUGGGACCGCCAAGCUGCUUAGGAUGGCCUCAUUGAUAAUAUGGGACGAGACCAGCAUGACGAAACGACAAGCGGUCGAGGCAUUGGACAAUAGCAUGCGCGACAUCAUGGGAAUACGCGACCGACCCUUUGGAGGAAAGACUGUUGUUUUGUGCGGGGACUUUAGGCAGGUGCUUCCGGUCGUCAGAAGGGGGUCGCGGGGCCAGAUAAUUGAUGCAACCCUACGAAGUUCUCAUCUAUGGAAGGGUAUGCGGCAGCUUCGGCUCAUCACCAACAUGAGGGCUCAUAAUGACGCGUGGUUUGCAAAUUACUUGCUAAGGGUCGGCAAUGGCACUGAGGAAGUCGACGAUCAAGGCAACAUACUACUCCCUGAAGACAUUUGUCUGCCGUCUACAGGCAAGGUUGACGACCUGGAGAAGCUUAUUCACCACGUGUUUCCGAGUCUAGAUGACAACAUGUCUGAUUCAAAUUACAUGACAUCUCGAGCAAUCCUUUCCACGACAAACGACAAUGUCGACAAGAUAAACAUCCGCAUGAUGGAGCGUUUUCAGGGAGAUGAAGUAAUAUACCAUAGCUUUGACAGUGCGGAGGACGACCCAUAUGGCUACUACGCUCAGGAGUUUCUGAAUGGAUUGACUCCUAACGGUCUUCCUCCGCAUGUACUCAAGCUAAAGCUGAACUACCCUGUCAUACUUCUAAGGAACAUUGAUCCAGCAAAUGGAUUGUGUAACGGCACUAGGCUUGUUGUUCGAGGUUUUGAGAGGAACACCAUUGAUGCAGAAAUCGUGAUUGGACAACACGCUGGCAGGAGGGUCUUCCUUCCUCGAAUACCUCUCUGCCCAUCUGAAAACGACAUGUUUCCGUUCAAGUUUAAGAGGAAGCAAUUUCCUAUAAGGCUUAGCUUUGCUAUGACCAUUAACAAGGCCCAAGGGCAGACAAUCCCGAUUGUUGGUGUCUACCUACCCAAUCCCAUGUUCUCUCAUGGUCAACUCUAUGUUGCUUUGUCUCGAGCCACCGCAAAGAGAAACAUAAAGAUACUCAUUCAGAAGGAGAAGCCGAAGGAGAAGUCCAACAAGCAAAAGGACAAUCCAAAUAAGCGAAAAAGACCGACCGUGUAAUUACUAACCUCGAUGAAGAACAUCGUCUACAAGGAAGUCCUUACAGGCUGAAGUCCGGUCUUAAUAGAUCGGCAGGUUAUGUAAUGACACAACAUUUACUCUUGUGAUGGUCAAGAUUUAUUGUAAUUCGUUUUUUUACAUAUAUCUUUUUUAUUUGGUAUUUUGAUAGUUGGAGGUAUACUCCAUUUAGUUGAGCUACUAACUGCAUUUCAAUAAUCAGCCGUCAUGUUGGCACCAUUAUCGCUGUUAUAUCUUUUCUAGUAUCGCAAUGUUUCUGGCAGUGUACAUGUCACCCACCGUAGUAUUUCAUGUGUAAUAUGUGAUUCAGAUAUAAUGAUUGGCCUGAAAAAUACCUGGAACAUGCAAUGAAACUUUUGUGUUACGGCAAGUGAUCAUAUCCAUUGUUAUUAUUUUGAUAUUUUGAUAAUAUGGUUGAAUGUAAAUUUAUUGGCGUCCUUAUUAUCCCUGUAUUAUUCUGAUAGGUCAGAAGUAUAGGAUUAUGAUUGGUCUGAAUUAUAAGACCAACACACGCAGAAGGGAAGUUUGUGUAGCUUUUCAAGAUAUAUUUUGCAUAUGUACAUCUAAUAAAUAAUAAAAUGGUAGCCUGCGUACUUGCAAAUAUGUUCAAAUGCCCGUGCGACUCUGGAGAAUGUGACAAUGCACGUGUCUGAUUGCUGAAGUGUGCAAUCUUUGGAAAAAAGAUUGAUUACUUGUACUUUCACGCGUCUGAACUAAUUAUUUAUCAGUUCAGUUCAAGUUUCAUUUUUAUUUUUUGCAUUGGUUCAUGUACCUUCAUGAGUUUACUGUGGAUCUGAAAGAGUUCUAACCUAAAAAAUUGUACAAGGCUGCAUUAAUCUAGGACCUGGCGAGGAUUGGUUCAGAGAGCAAGCAUCGUUCCGCAGUAUCUUAAGGACGCUGGUUGGGCUGAGGGUGGUCGCCUUAUAGGUUGCACCCAGCCAAGACGAUUGGCUGUGCAGGUAUCAACUGUUUAAAUGUUCAUCAAAAUGUGUAUCCUUCUCUAGAUGCCAUGUAAUACUAGGUUUCUCUUUUUACCUUCUGAUCAGAGCAUGCACCAGAUUAUUCUUUUGGGUACGUCCCUAGCAACUAGCAUGGCGAGUAAGGAUCUUAGCUAAUUAUCUAGAGCAAGCUUCUGUAUUACUUAUGGAUAUUCUGGUGCAACAUGAAUCAAACCCGGGCAACAUGAAUCUAAGAAAUAAAUUAUUAGAGAUAGAUAACUCCUAAAAGAUAAGCUUGGAGGACUUUCGCAGAGCUCCCAGCCACGAAGAUUUAUCCAGCUUCCCCUUUGUGACCUAGCCGUUUGUGACAGGGUUGCCAUGUGGUAGUGGCCAUAGUGCCCAAAAGUGUGUCUGUAACAGGAGACUUCAUCCUGCAAAAUUAUUCAUGUGCUCCGGCAGUGAUUUCUGACAUCCUAUACGGAGCAGUCAGCUGAUAGAACCAUAUCUGUACUAAUUAGAAGAUGGUAGCUGAACAUUUUGUUUACUGCAUUGGUAUUACUAAUUUCCAUAUGUUUGAAUUUUUUUACAAGGUAGGGGUUGCGUUCUAUUUUACAUUUGUUGUCAAUGUAUUUUUUAUGUAAUACUAUGUCACUACUAUAUAACACUGAUUUUUAGCGUAGAUAUCCAUGAAGCCAGCCUCAUGACACUUGACGAAACACGUGCGUACGUCAAUGGUGUUGUUCAAGCUAGGAACAAUGGAGGCUAGAAGUAUCUGUGUACACAAGUGCACAAUUUGUCUUAGAUAUAAAAAUGUAUGAACGCUUUGCAUGCAACAUUUUGUUGCCAAUUGUCACAUUAUGAAGUGUUCGCUUAUGUCUUGGAGGUUUAAUAAUAUGUGAUAUUCAAUAAAAAAAUAUUUAACAGUGUCGUCAUAUUUCGUAGCCAUAUACUGUGAAGUUCAGAACUAUAUAUUUGACUAAUAUAUAUUUGAUGACCAAACUGUCAAUAAUGGACUUCAAAUGGUAACCUGUCUACUCUCAUUUGAGCUACACGUAUGAAUCUCUUUCAGUGUAGGUUCAAAUUUUUUAAUAUACAGUGCAGCGCAAAAAGAAAAUACGUUUACCUUGACAGAUGCUAUCGCAUGCUAUCAUGCAUUAUGACAUUCCAAAGAUAAUAUAAUUAAUUUUGUACAUGGAAUCAAGGAUUGCCGUAUGCCCGUGCGUUGUGUUUCUUUCUACACACGGAAACAAUAGUUCUUCAAGUGGCGUGGGCUUUUUGAUCAUGGUGAGGAGGACAAAAAUAGAAGAAGAAAAAACGUUGUGUUUCUUUAUAUUUCUCGGACGCCCGUGUUUGACAUAUAUUUGGGAAAUAAAUUAAUUGUUUCUUUCUAUAUAUCUGGAGGCAAAGUUUGGAAAGGAGACAUAAAUUAGGAAAUAUAUAAUCCGGCGUUGAUACAUUUGCCGGGUGGAGCAUGCAACCAAAAUAAUUUUAUUCCAUGUUUUCCUAUAGUUUUUGUUAUGGAAUAUUGUAACUACGGAAGGAUAUGGGCCACCUUCCGAGUACAUGCCCACGAUUCCUCCCGGCCAGGAUAUGUCAAUUAGAACUAUAAUUAUCCUUAAAGUCAUUUCCUUCCAAAACGUUAUAGUGUCCAAUCUCCCGGUCCGGCCUACCAUACGUUCAAUGGGUUUCCCAGUGUGGCCAUUAAUAUUCCCUUAAUCGGAUUUGUUUAUAAGGAAAGUUAAAUUAUGCUUCUUCCGAUCGGGAAAGGGAGACAUAUAUAAUAGAUAUAUAAUCCGGCAUAUAUUUAUUUGCCCAGUGGAGUAUGGAAGAAAAACAUAUGCUUGUCCUUUUAUUAGCAAGGAUUUGUAAUGAAACAUGCACGGAUGGAAUGAUAAGGGGCACCUUCCAAUCCAUACAACAUGCUAAUGUGUCACCGACCUGGUGCCGGACGAUUCCCCUCCGACACUCAUAUAUAUGGUCCGGCUGUGAGUCCACCGUUGUCCACUGCCCCCUCGCUCGCUCGUCCUGGUGCUAAGACGACUUUCUGCCCGUGCCAAUGGCUGCAAUGCCGAUUUUUGAUGGAGUGAACGACGCAGUCGAGUACAUAUACAACUACGUCAUGCUUUCCUCAGUCGAGGAGCAGUUAGAGUUUGUUCUGGCAGCCCUAAACUCUAUCUAUAAUUUAUUUGCAAUUGUUAGCUGCAGAUCAGUACCAUUAUAUUAUGCAUUAUCGGCUUCUUAUUUUAAACCCUAGUAAAAAUCUGUUCUUUCACCUAAUCCACGUCGAUGAGUUGGUCACGUUCAUAAGUUGUUGCAUGCAUGCACUGGUUAGGAUCAUGCGAUCCUUUCUAAGUCCAUAAGGUUCUUAAGAUCUAACGUAGUGGUUGCAAAAAUCUGGUCAUGCGCUAAUAUUAUCCUUUUACAUUACGCCAUGUUAGUACCAUCCACAGCACGUUAUUUUAAACUAUAAAUUUUCUAUGAACUGUAGUAUAUUGCAACGGGUCCUGGUGCAUGAUACAUGUACCAUCUAUAGAUUUUAUCAUAACUGUAAUAGGAACAAGUUGCAACCGAACAUAUCAUAAUAGAUUUGGUUAUCUUACGAAAUAGUACUUAUGUCCUCAAAUGACACUACAACUCCAAUUUUUAGGUACAUACAUUUCAGACCUUUCUAAAGUUUUGAAAAAAUAUACUAUUGUUUGCCCACACAUUGAAGUACAAUAUUUUUAUGAUACCCUGAUUUUAUCAUGCCGGUUUGUUUGCAGCACAAUAUGGAUAAGGAGCCCUCGUCCAUUCAUGAUCGAGUUAAGUCUACGGACUAUCCAAGACACCAUGCGAGGUGAUACAUGGGUCAAUCCGAGCUGCUUCGAUCUUGCAGUGCGUAAGCUUAGUAGCGACGCGAUACAAAGGAACGCAGGAACAUGUUAAUCUUGUAUUUAAAAAAAGGACUGUGAUAUUUGGCACAUGUGUGCCAUAUAAGGAAAACUGCCACACCUCUACUUCUUUCACUUUAAAGUACCACACGAUCCCUUCCUUCGACCCCGCAGGCUCACCCGAGAAACCUGCUUCUCCCGCACAUCUCGCGCGCCCACCCCCGAGAAAACUGCCACUUUUUCACGUCUACCACAUGAUAAAAAAAUAUUGCGCAUGUGGGAUUCGAACCCACACCUCCUUGGCACCAAAGCGCGCCACCACAACCAACUCACCCUUAGGUAUUUGUUGCUCAAACUAAAGAAACUAAUCGUUUUGGCCCCUUUUUUUACAAUUUUGUUACUACAAAAAAGUACAGAAAAUUACCACGAUUUCCCCUCAGGACAAAGUUACCAUGGUAUUCGCAUGCAAGUUAUCAGUCCUGUGUUGCGUAAGUUACCGUGCUAUUUACAUAGAACUUACCAGGUACUAUGUUUCAACAACUACACCCUUUUCAAAGUUACCAUUGUGUUUUGUACACAAGUUAUAAGGUCUUCGAUGUGUAAAAUACCGUGGUACUUACACAUAAGUUAUCAGGGUAUGUGUACAUCAACCUCGCCCUGGUCAAAGUUACCAUGGGGGGUUGUACAUGAGUUACCGGGUCUACAGUUCGUAUAUUAUCAUGGUACUUACACCUAAAAACCUGCGUGUGUUUCGGUAACUUUUUUCAUAUGUCAAAAAUUACCACGAUGUUUUUGCGUAACUUAUCACGCCUAUAGUGGGUCAAAGUGGGUCGUUUUUCUGGGCCAACCCACAAGCACAUGUGCCCCUCAUGACACUAAACAUUAUGUGGCUUUUCCGUGGCACACCAUGUGUUGUGUUCAUCUAAGAGGCCCCGUGAGGCGAGUGUAUGUUUUUAACAACUUGUUUUCCUUUGACAAGUUACCAUCAUGUUUAUAUUGUAUGUUAUCGGUUAUGCGGUGCUUAUAUUAUCAUGUUAUUCACACAAAAGUUAUCGGGGAUGUUUUGAACAACUUUUUCCUGGGACAAAAAGUUAUCAUGGUGAUUCUAGGUAACCUAUCAAGCCCGCAGUGCUUAAAAUAUCAUGUUAUUUACACAAAAUUUAUCANNNNNNNNNNNNNNNNNNNNNNNNNNNNNNNNNNNNNNNNNNNNNNNNNNNNNNNNNNNNNNNNNNNNNNNNNNNNNNNNNNNNNNNNNNNNNNNNNNNNNNNNNNNNNNNNNNNNNNNNNNNNNNNNNNNNNNNNNNNNNNNNNNNNNNNNNNNNNNNNNNNNNNNNNNNNNNNNNNNNNNNNNNNNNNNNNNNNNNNNNNNNNNNNNNNNNNNNNNNNNNNNNNNNNNNNNNNNNNNNNNNNNNUGGUGUUUUAGUUAUCGCAGUGCAUAUGUUUUCAUGCUAUUUAUACUUAAAAAUACUAGGGGAGGGAGGUAUAGUACCGUGCUAUUUACACAGAAGAUACCAGAGUAUCUUUUCAAAAACAAAUCUUCCCUAUGGUCAAAGUUACCAUGGUGUUUCUACCUUAGUUAUCAGAUGUGUGCUGCGUAUAUUACCAUCUAUUUACACAUAAAUUAUCGGGUAUCUUUUCACAUUUUUCUUCCCCAAUGAUUAAAGUUACCACAAUUUUUGUAUCCAAAUUAUCAGGUCUAUGGCGUGAAUGUUAUCGUGCUAUUUACAGAAAUUACCGGGGCCGGGGUUCAACUCUUCCCAAUGAUCAAAGUUACCACGAUGCUUUCACCAAAGUUACCACGCCUUCAGUGCUUAUGACCAUGCUACUUACACAAUGUACCGCGUGGUGUACAAACGUUAUCAUGUUGGUGGUGCGUCAUUUAUCGUGGUGGUGAUGGAGAAUUUACCACGGGAAAAAUUUAUGUGCCAGGUUUGUAGGUGAAACAAAAGUUUUUCAGUGCUAAAAUAUUAAAGGCAAAACAUGUCAAAAAUAGUCUUUUCCUUAGCCUGUUCAACGAUGAGUGUCAUAGGUGAGGUGGUUAGCUCCCUUUGUUGAUUACCUGCAGACCAAAGAUCAAAUCCCAACCCAAGCAUUAUUUUUGCCCGAAAAUUGGGAAGGCGUGCGGGAAAGGAAGGAGAUCGGGAGGAAAGGAAGGAGAUCGGGAGGACGUGCGGGAAAGGAAGGAGAUCGGGAGGGCGGCCAGAACUGACGGUGUUGGAUGCGUGUUGCAGUUUUGCAAUCUGCCACACGGUUGCCACUUACAUAUUUCGUUAAAAAAAUGUUACAGGUGUAUUAGAAAAUGUUCUUGACGCAUACAAAAAUUGUAGAAUGGAAACCAAAAGGAACCAAAAAAUAAACAAAAAGGUCAAAAAAUAUAUAAUGAGAAAUAAAACCGAAGAAAGAAAUGCAAAAAGUAUGGGGAAACCGGUAAAACUCAUAAAGAAAGAAAGAAAAUUAAAAAACAUUGAAAACUAAGAAAACCAAAAGAAAAAAAGAAAAGAAAAAGAGAAGAAUUGAAAGAAAACGGAUGAAAAACAAAGAAGGAAAGAAAAGAAAAGAAAGAAAGAAAGUGAAAACCGAAAAGAAAGGAAGAGAAACUUUAAAAAAAGAAAAACCGGAGAAACUAGUGAGAAAACAAGAAAAACUAAAAAAAUAGCAAAACCAAUGAAGGAAGCUCAACUAGCAAAGGAACUCGAUAGAAAACUAGCCCAGCGAACGAGCGAAGGAAGUGCAGCGAGCGAUCGCGAACGAAAGAAAAAAGCAAAACUUGGCCGGCCUGAUAACUUCGUUGCAGAGCAAAGAUCUUCAGAGCAUCUCUAGCAGACCCUGAAUCCCGCCGACCCGCAAAACGCGUUUGCAGUUCGCGGAAAACGCGUUUUAAGGGUCGGUUUUUGCCGCGGCAGAACAGACCCCUCAAACUUAAACUGUAAAACGGAAUAUUCGCUUAUAUUCUGUCUUCUUCUUCCUCUCGUCCAUGUCCAUGGUCAGCUAGCUUGCUCCCGCAAAACCGACGAAUAACACACGAAGCGGUAAAAAUGGAGCCGCAGGAUCCAUCCAUUAGCUAACUAGCUCUGCUCGAAUCGAUCGAGAGCUACCUGCUAGCUCUGCUCGAAUCCAUCAAUCGGAUUUCGGGUUCCGCAGACCCUUGAGAGGUUCGAACUCUAGGGUGCGCACGAAGAGCACUCUCUCCCCAGUCUGCACACUCAACGAUUCCACGGCCUAGCUCGAUGAACCCAAAGAACAAGUGACACGGGGGUUUAUACUGGUUCGGGCCACCUUGCGGUGUAAUACCCUACUCCAGUUUUGUGGUGGAUUGCCUCGAGGGGCUGAGGAUGAACUAGUACAGUGGAUGAACGACCUCAGGAGGUGAGGUGUUCUUGAGCUCGAUGAGCUGGUGAGAUGGCCUUGGUGGAAUGGAUCCAGUCCAAGAUGAGAUGCCCCCUAUGGUGGUGGCUAAGUCCUAUUUAUAGUGGCCUUGGUCCUCUUCCCAAAUGUAGGCGGGAAGGGAUCCCACAACGGCCAAGUUUGAAGGGAGACAACUAGUGCAAGCUAUCCUGACAAAAGUAGUCUUCGCCUGCCAAAGGCUGUGGUGGUGACGCCGUUAUGGGCUCCGCGAUGACCUCCGUCCUGCCGUCCUGGUGGUCUUGGUCUUGUUGCACCGAUAAGUAAACCUUUGCUUGAUUCCUCGGAACUCCGCGCCUACGCUUGUCUCCUUAGCACCAAAGAGGAAACUGGUACGCUGCACUCGCUGGCGCCCGCCUGGCCUUGGUCGUCAUGGCUCAUGUCAAGUGAACCUCACGAGGUGCGCCUUGCAUAGAUAUCUCCGCUCCCCGGGAGCCAGCCUAGCGAGGCCGCCCCCAGGGAGGUCUUGGUGUCGUCCGCCUCGCGAGGCUUGACCCCUCGCGAGGGUCUUGAGGUGUUGCUGCUAAAGCUGGGCCGUACCGGGCCGUUGAUGGAGCCACGCCUUGGGCCGCAGACAGGCACGUCUGGGUACCCCCAUUCCCAGGACGCCGACAGUAGCCCCCGGGCCCAAGGCGCGCUCGGGCUUGGCUUCGAGACGAAGCCAAUGGGCAAGUGCGGAGCACCGCGGGCCCCAACCUCCUGCGGCCUCGGUCGACGCUUGGCGAUUGAUGGGACGUGGGCGCCUCCACUUCCCCAUGAUGCCUCAGCAACCGUUCUCGCCUGACAAAAAGGCUGGCGCAUGCUGCAGAGCCUUCAUUGCCUUCCUUCGUCUUGCUCCAGAUCCCCUUUCUCUUUCUCGCUCCAAAGACUCCUAAUCCGCCGAAAAUUCUCCCCGAGCCCGCAGCCGAUGGCGUCCGACAAGGCGAAGGCCGUGCGCUCGCCCUCCUGGUUCGAGCCUGCCUUGAGCGCGCCUACGGUCACGGGGAAGAACCUCGCCGUCGCGCUCCUGAUGACGGCGGCCAGCAGCAACGAGGGCAGAGUCCGCGCUCCGGGCCGGUUCCGCUGAGCCAGAGGCCUCGGGCAGCACCUUCUAUCCUUUCUUCAUGCACAACGUCUUCACGGGGCUGGUCCCUUCUUUAUCUGACUUCUUCUAUGCCGUCCUCAGCCAUUCCAAUCUCCAUGCCCUCCAUCUUCAUCCCAACUCCGUCCUCCUUUUGUCGAUCUUUGCCUUUUACUGCGAGGCAUUCGUGGGGGUGAUGUCGUCCGUGGCGCUGCUUUGCCACUUCUUCUACCUUCGGAACAAGGAGGGCCAGUGCUCGGGGUGCGCCAAUUUCGUUGCGGCCAACGGGACCAACGCAAUCUCAAGAGCCGGGAAGAAGGUUGAGGGCUUCAGGAACAAGUGGGUCCUCAUCGAUGCCAAGAUCUCCUACCCUCGGCUGGCGCUGCCGACGGGGAUGCCUUCGCAUCACGAGGUGUGGCUCAGCGCAAAGCUUGCCGGCCCCCGGGCGAAGCAGGUGCUCGAGAAGAUGGCGGCCGACCUGAAGCCAGACGACCCGAAGGCGGAGAAGCUGAUGGGGGCCAUGAUCGUCAAGGAAUUUCUGUCGCAGCACUUGGCUCCACUCCAGGCGCGCUCGCGCCCCCUGUGGAGGCUCAUGGAAGAGGGAGGCAACCUCCUCCUGCAUCCGGACGCCUUGUCCGACGAGGAGCUGGACAAGGCCCUCCAUCUCCUGGUUGGGGAGGACCAGGGGUACCCGCCGGAUACCCAUCUUCCGCUGUACCGCCGCCCAGAUGGGGCGGAGGUCGCCGCCGCCAUGCCCGUCUUUAACGAGCGCGGGCUCGUGCCGCCAGCGCCCGUUGAGGCCCCGGUGGUGCUGUCCUCCGGCGAGCCCAGUGAGGAGGAGGGGUCGGACUUGGAGGCUACCCAGGAGGGGGCGGGGGAGACUUCUCCUCCGCGCGUGGCCGAUCUCCUGCGCACCUUCCCCGACGACGACGCCGACGAGCAUCUGGCGAGGGAGUCACUGCACCCCGCCGGGGUCACCACGAGGUCGAAGGGCACCCCCUCAAAGAAGCCGCAGGCCGGGGUCCCAAAGAAAAGCAGAUCAGCGCGGAUCUCCCAAGACGGUGCUUCUGCUUCGGCGUCGGCUGGUGCUGCUGCGAAUCCUGCCGCCGUGCCUUUGUCUGCUCCUAGGGCUCGCACGCCGGUGCCCCAGGCCGCGAAGCCUUCGGGCUUGGUGCUUCAGAAGAGGGUGAGGGAGUACGCCGCCGUGGACCAGUAAGUGCUCCACCCUGAUUCUUGUCCCUGUUUCUGCCGUUGUUUCUUGAUGCUUCUCCCUUGUACUGUCAGGCCAACGCUGGCGAAGAAGAAGAAGGAGACGGCCGCGACUCCUGGGGCCCGGCAGCCUGCCGCGGUUGCGCCACCUCUGGUGUGGAAGGACGGCGAUGGCUCUCGCGCCUCAGCGGCUGGGUCAUCCUCGCGAGAUUCAGAGGCCCGGCCUUAGAAGAAGGCGACCUCCAUGGCCCAGCCGGCUCCGAAGGCGCCCGCCCCCAGCUCGCCUGCUGAGGCUCCGAUGGCUCAGGAGGCCCCGGCCUCUUCUGCUGCCACCAACUUGCAGGUCUUGGCGGCGAUGCUGCCUCCUCCUCUCCCCAUCACGCCGCUGGGCCGUGAUCCUUCUGCUUUGCCUGACGCUCUGGAGGAGGCUCUUUCCACGCUGACCCAGCUUCGGGACGACCUUCAAGGCACCGACCGUCGCCUGGCGUUGGGGCGCCUGUAGUUGAUCUUGGGAUGGUUGCGAUCCGACGCGUCCGUCUGGGCGGCGGCAUGGAGCCAAGCCAUAGAAGCCUCCGAGGAAGGUGAGCGGGCCGUCGGCCUGGCCGCGACCGCCCGUGACGCAGCGCUGAAGGAUGUUGUGGCUGCCAAGGAGCGCUGCCGGUUGGCGGAGGCCGAGCUGGAGACUAUGCGCAAUGAGCGCAUCGUCGAGGCUCGGCAGCACGAGGCGUGGGAGGAGAAGAUGAAGGCUCGAGAAGACGCGGUUGCCCGUCGUGACACUGAGCUGGAGCAAUCGGCACGGGCGCAGGCCGCGGAGUGCGGCCGCCUGGAGAAGCUGAAGGAGAAGGUGGAGGCGGAGAAGGCCCAGCUGGAAGCCAAGGCGAAGGUUCUUGUCGAAGAUCAUGUAGCCUUCAAUUCCCUUGAGCUGCAGUCCCGCAAGGCACUGCAGGAGCUCUAUGGGAGGGGUUUGAAGAAGCCAUUUAUGACUGCUGAGGAAGGCCCCGCCGAGCUACUCCCCCAGCUUGCCACGACACUCGAGGGCGUCGUUAAUGGGGUCGGCCCCAUGGUGGAAGGGGAAGCCCACGCGCUCUCCUCCUCGGCUCUGACGCGCGUCUUCAGCCAGCUUCGUCUUCGCGACCCUGGCAUCGACCUCGGCGCUCUGCUUGAGCCUGUGGACGAGGAGCACUGCGCAGCCGCCGCCGAAGCCGUGAAGGACCGGGUGGACGCCCUACUGGAGAAGUUCCUCGCCAUCGACCCCGCGCCUCCGUCUGAUGGUGCCGCUGAUGCUACGGCCACAGCCGACGGCACGGGCAACGGCGACGUUGCCGACGAAGGAGUACCCCUUGCAGGCGACGGCAGCGCCCAAGGCUGAUGAGAAGGCUCGCUGGCGGCGCUUCCCUCUGCUUUUAUUUCCUGCCACAUGCAUUGUGCCUCGUGGAGGCGUUAAAACUUAUGCUUGGUAUUCGGAGAAACAAUAUGUCUUAUAAUAAUUUGUUAGGAUUCUGCGAUUUCCUUCCCGUUGCCUUAGUGUUCUGCAUCGGCAGGGCCCGGCCCCGCGCAUGCCUCAGCCACCGCCAGGACGAGACCAAGGGGUGAGGGGCUACGUGACCAGUUAGGCUCCUAAGGCGCGAUGCUCAGGAGUCCCCCUUGACGUACAAAUAGCCUUCGGGAAGGAGAUGCGAGAGUAGGCCUUAGCGUUCUGCGUCGGCAGGGCCCGGCCCCGUGUAUGCCUUAGCCGUCGUUGGGUCGUUCGGAUCGCCAGGACAAGACCAAGGGGUGAGGGGCUACGUGGCCAGUUAGGCCCUUGGGUCACACGAUGCCCAAGGGUCCCCCUUGACGUACGAAUAGACCCCAUACCUGUCCUCGCUGGUCUCUCGCGCGGGAGGGUUGCGCGAAGGCCAAGUCCGAAGGACAUGGCGAGGUGGCGUACGCCAGGCGUGACCUGAGCGUAGCCCCCGUGCCCAGCCCCCUUGCGCUACUCUCCCGAGGGGAAAGCAGCGCGGUGAGGCUAGUCACCGAGCCUGGUGGCUCCCUGAGGUUAUUGCAGCCGUGAGGCCACCCUCAGUUGUUGAUCACCAGCGCGUAGCAUGGCGCUACCGUUUUUGCACGGGCAUAGCCGCUCCUCGGUCGUGUCGACUGCCAGCGCGGAGCAUGGUGUUUCCACUGGUACGUGGGAGGGGGCUCCCUCUGAGGAGAGCCCCCGGGGCGUGUACAGCCCCGCCCUGACACAUGGCUUGUGAUAGGUCUCCGUCGUAUCUAUAAUUUUUUAUUGUUCCAUGCCAAUAUUAUACAACUUCCAUAUACUUUUUGGCAACUUUUUAUACUAUUUUUGGGACUAACAUAUUGAUCCAAUGCCCAGUGCCAGUUCCUGUUUGUUGCAUGUUUUUGUUUCGCAGAAUAUCCAUAUCAAACGGAGUCCAAACGGGAUAAAAACAGACGGAGAUUAUUUUUGGAAUAUUCGGAGAAUAUGGGAAGGAAAAUCCACGCAAGACGGUGCUCGAGGGAGGCACGACGCAGGGGGGCGCGCCCCACCCCCCUGGGCGUGCCCCUGACCCUCGUGGGCCCCCCGUAAGGCGGUUGAUGCCCUUCUUCGGCCGCAAGAAAGCUAAUUUUGGGGGAAAAAUCACGGCGAUGGUUUCAGUCCAAUCGGAGUUACGGAUCUCCAUAUAUAUACGAAACGGUGAAAGGGCAGCAGACCAGAGCGCAGAAACAGAGAGAGACAGAGAGACAGAUCCAAUCUCGGAGGGGCUCUCACCCCUCCCAUGCCAUGGAGGCCAAGGACCAGAGGGGAAACCCUUCUCCCAUCUAGGGAGGAGGUCAAGGAAGAAGAAGAAGAAGAAGGGGCCCCCUCUCCCCUUCUCUUCCGGUGGCGCCGGAACGCUGCCGUGCCCACCAUCAUCAUCGCCGCAAUCUUCACCAACAACUUCACCGCCAUCAUCACCAACUCUUCCCCCCUCUAUGCAGCGGUGUAACCUCUCUCUUACCCGCUGUAAUCUCUACUUAAACAUGGUGCUCAACGCUAUAUAUUAUUUCCCAAUGAUGUAUGGCUAUCCUAUGAUGUUUGAGUAGAUCCGUUUUGUCCUACGGGUUAUUUGAUGAUCAAGAUUGGUUUGAGUUGCAUGUUUUAUUAUUGGUGCUGUCCUAUGGUGCUCUCCGUGUCGCGCAAGCGUGAGGGAUCCCCGCUGUAGGGUGUUGCAAUACGUUCAUGAUUCGCUUAUAGUGGGUUGCAUGAGUGACUGAAACACAAACCCGAGUAAGGGGGUUGUUGCGUAUGGGAUAAAGAGGACUUGAUGCUUUAAUGCUCUGGUUGGGUUUUACCUUAAUGAUCUUUAAUAGUUGUGGAUGCUUUCUAGAGUUCCAAUCAUAAGUGCAUAUGAUCCAAGUAGAGAAAGUAUGUUAGCUUAUGCCUCUCCCUCAAAUAAAAUUGCAAUAAUGAUUACCGGUCUAGUUAUCGAUUGCCUAGGGACAAAUAACUUUCUCGUAACAAAAAGCUCUUUACUAAAACUAAUUAGUUGUGUCUUUAUCUAAACAGCCCCUACCUUUUAUUUACGCUCUCUUUAUAUUCUUGCAAACCUAUCUAAAAACACCUACAAAGUACUUCUAGUUUCAUACUUGUUCUAGGUAAAGCGAACGUUAAGCGUGCGUAGAGUUGUAUCGGUGGUCGAUAGAACUUGAGGGAAUAUUUGUUCUACCUUUAGCUCCUCGUUGGGUUCGACACUCUUACUUAUCGAAAGAGGCUACAAUUGAUCCCCUAUACUUGUGGGUUAUCAAGACCUUUUUCUGGCACCGUAGCCGGGGAGCAAUAGCGUGGGGUGAAUAUUCUCGUGUGUGCUUGUUUGCUUUAUCUCUAAGUAAUUUUUAUUUGCUGUUCUUAGUUGUUCUCUAUCUUUAGUUAUGGAUAUGGAACAUGAAAUACCAAAAAAAUUAGGUGUACUUGCUACUCUUGGAGAUGGGGAACCUCCUAAAACCCUUGAUGAUCAUUAUGUGAAAAAUAUUUUGUACCACUUUGAUAAUCCUGAGAAAACCUCAUUCAAUUAUGUAAUGGGAGACACGUUGGACCAACGUGAAUACUUUAGGGAUUAUCGCUUGACUCAAAAAGGGAAACUAUUAUGGGAUCAAAUUUAUAUGUUGAAGUGGUAUGCUCGGCAAGUAUGCUUGAGAUAUGAUUAUACUUGUUGCUCUAGGAUGAAGGCUCCACACCUUCCCUUUUCAUGCAAAUUUAAUGAUAAUGAAACCUUGGCUUCUUAUGCUAGAGGUAUAUAUGAUUACUAUGAUGUGGAACAAAUAGAAGAAUUUGUUGCUUUUAAGGGUGCUUAUGAAAUUGAAUUUUUGGUUGAAAAGUACGAAGCUUUUGAUGAUGAUGUUUAUAGGCCUGAAAAUUUUUCUAUAUUGAAAUAUUGUUAUGAGAAUUAUGAAUACAAUUCCGAUAUUGAUGCAUUUAUUGAGAAAGUCUCCACUGUCCAAGAAGAGACUAAUAUUUUGCAUGAGUCUAUGGAAGAAGAAAUUGAAGAAACUGUGAGCUCAUUGGAUGAAAAAGAUGAUGAGGAGAGCGAAGAACAAAAGGAGGAAGAGCGGAUUAGCUACCCGUGCCCACCUUCUAAUGAGAGUAACUCUUCAACUCAUACAUUGUUUAAUUCCCCUUAUUGCACCCACGCAUGAUAGUCCUAUUAUCUUUUUGAAUUCUCCCGACUACACUAUAUCGAAGAAGUUUGCACUUAUUAAGGAUUACAUUGAUGGGUUGCCUUUUACCGUUGCACAUGAUGAUUUUGAUGAAUAUAAUAUACAUGUGCUUGCUGCUCCUACUUGAAAUUAUUAUGAGAGAGGAACUAUAUCUCCACCUCUCUAUGUUUCCAACACGAUAAAAUUGCAAGAAACUGUUUAUACUAUGCAUUGGCCUUUACUAUGUGUGCAUGAAUUGUUCUUUUAUGACAUGCCGAUGGAUAGGAAGAGAGUUAGACUUCGUUGUUGCAUGAUAUAUGUUGCCUUGUGCUCACUACUAAAUGCCAAAUCAUUGCUAAUUAAAAUAGGCUUUGAUAUACCUUGGGAUCCGGGUGGAUUCACUACUUGAGCACUAUAUGCGCAGCUUAAUGCCUUUAAAGAAAGCGCUGCCAGGGAGACAACCCGGAAGUUAUAGAGAGUCAUUUAUUUCUGUUGAGUGCUUUUACAUAGUUUAAAAACAAAAUAAAAUAAAGAGGGGAACCUAAAACUUUUUCAAAAAGAAAACUGAAAGUGAGAAAGACGAGCAUUGUUAAAGUGGGAGCUAGCCUUGAACUUUGUUCAUGCUCACGGAAACUUUGUGAAUCUUGAUUACAGAAACUUUUCACUAAAUAUAAUUAUCCCCUUGUACAAUUCCAUUGUAUUAUAAAAAUAAUGUGCCAAGGUUUGCCUUUAGGAUGUUUACAAUGCUUGUUGGUUUGUACGGUGCAGGACAGAAAUUUUGGCUGUAGUGCUCGAUUUUACAUUUUUUUACUGGAACGUCAAAUGGUUCUGAUUAUUUUUGCACUGUCUUUCUAUACAAAUUGCUUAUUUUUCCUAAUUUUAGCAGAAUUGUUCAAGUAUCAGAAGUAUCGUGAAUGUUCAGAUUAUUACAGACUGUUCUGUUUUAGACAGAUUCUGUUUUUGAUGCAUAGUUUGCUUCUUUUGAUGAAACUAUCGAUUUAUAUCAGUGGAUUAAGCCAUGAAAAAAUUAUAUUUCAGUAGCUACAAUGCCAAAACAAAAUAUGAAUUGGUUUGCAACAGUACUUAGAGUAGUGAUUUGCUUUAUUAUACUAACGGAUCUUACCAAGUUUUCUGUUGAAGUUUUGUGUGGAUGAAGUGUUCGAUGAUCGAGGAGGUCUCGAUGUGAGAAGAAGGAAGAGAGGCAAGAGCUCAAGAUUGGGGAUGCCCAAGGCACCCCAAGUAAAUAUUCAAGGAGACUCAAGCAUCUAAGCUUGGGGAUGCCCCGGAAGGCAUCCCCUCUUUCUUCAACAAGUAUCGGUAUGUUUUCAGAUUCGUUUCGUUCAUGCAAUAUGUGCAAGUCUUGGAGCGUCUUUUGCAUUUAGUUUUCAUUUUUCUUUUAUGCACCAUGCUGGUAUGAGAUAGUCCUUGGUUGAUUUAUAAGAAUGCUCUUUGCACUUCACUUAUAUCUUUUGAGUAUGGCUUUAUAGAAUGCUUCAUGUGCUUCACUUAUAUCAUUUGAAGUUUGGAUUGCCUGUUUCUCUUUACAAAGAAAACCGCCAUUUGUAGAAUGCUCUUUUGCUUCACUUAUAUUUGUUAGAGCGUGGGCAUAUCUUUUUUAGAAAUAAUUAAACUCUCUUGCUUCACUUAUAUCUAUUUAGAGAGAUGGCAGGAACUGGUCAUUCACAUGGUUAGUCAUAAAAUCCUACAUAAAACUUGUAGAUCACUGAAUAUGAUAUGUUUGAUUCCUUGCAAUAGUUUUGCGAUAUAAAGAUGGUGAUAUUAGACUCAUGAUAGUGGGUAGUUGUGGAUUAGUAGAAAUACUUGUGUUGAGGUUUGUGAUUCCCGUAGCAUGCACGUAUGGUGAACCGUUGUGUAACGAAGUCGGAGCAUGAGGUAUUUAUUGAUUGUCUUAUGAGUGGCGGUCGGGGACGAGCGAUGGUCUUUUCCUACCAAUCUAUCCCCCUAGGAGCAUGCGCGUAGUACUUUGUUUUGAUAACUAAUAGAUUUUUGCAAUAAGUAUGUGAGUUCUUUAUGACUAAUGUUGAUUCCAUGGAUUAUACGCACUCUCACCCUUCCACCAUUGCUAGCCUCUCUAGUACCGUGCAACUUUCGCCGGUACCAUAAACCCACCAUAUACCUUCCUCAAAACAGCCACCAUACCUACCUAUCAUGGCAUUUCCAUAGCCAUUCCGAGAUAUAUUGCCAUGCAACUUCCAUCAUCAUCAUAUACAUGACUCGAGCAUUCAUUAUCAUAUUGCUUUGCAUGAUCGUAAGAUAGCUAGCAUGAUAUUUUCAUGGCUUGUCCAUUUUUUGAUAUCAUUGCUACACUAGAUCAUUGCACAUCCCGGUACACCGCCGGAGGCAUUCAUAUAGAGUCAUAUCUUUGUUCUAGUAUCGAGUUGUAAUAUUGAGUUGUAAGUAAAUAAAAAGUGUGAUGAUCAUCAUUAUUAGAGCAUUGCCCCGGUGAGGAAAGGAUGAUGGAAACUAUGAUUCCCCCACAAGUCGGGAUGAGACUCCGGACUUUAAAAAUAAAUAAAAGAGGCCAAAGAAGCCAAAAAGAAGAGGCAAAACAAGCCCACCAAAAAAGGGGAAAAAAUAAAAGAGAAUAAAAAAAUGAGAGAAAAAGAGAGAAGGGACAAUGUUACUAUCCUUUUACCACACUUGUGCUUCAGAGUAGCACCAUGUUCUUCAUAUAGGGAGUCUCUUGAGUUAUCACUUUCAUAUACUAGUGGGAAUUUUCAUUAUAGAACUUGGCUUGUAUAUUCCGAUGAUGGGCUUCCUCAAACGCCCGAGGUCUUCAUGAGCAAGCAAGUUGGAUGCACACCCACUUAGAUUUCAGUCUGAGCUUUCAUACACUUAUAGCUCUUAGUGCAUCCUUUGCAUGGCAAUACCUACUCACAUUGAUAUCUAUUGAUGGGCAUCUCCAUAGCUCGUUAAUACGCCUAGUUGAUGUGAGACUAUCUUCUCCUUUUUGUAUUCUCCACAACCACCAUUCUAUUCCACCUAUAGUGCUAUGUCCAUGGCUCACGCUCAUGUAUUGCGUGAAAGUUGAAAAGGUUUGAGAACAUCAAAAGUAUGAAACAAUUGCUUGGCUUGUCCUCGGGUUUGUGCAUGAUUUGAAUAUUUUAUGUGGUGAAGAUGGAGCAUAGCCAGACUAUAUGAUUUUGUAGGGAUAACUUUUUUUGGGCAUGUUAUUUUGAAAAGACAUGAUUGCUUUAUUAGUAGGCUUGAAGUAUUAUUGUUUUUACAUCAAAUGAUAGACUAUUGCUUUGAAUCACUCGUGUCUUAAUAUUCAUGCCAUGAUUAGAUACAUGAUCAAGAUUAUGCUAGGUAGCAUUCCACAUCAAAAAUUAUCUUUUUUAUCAUUUACCUACUCGAGGACGAGCAGGAAUUAAGCUUGGGGAUGCUGAUACGUCUCCGUCGUAUCUAUAAUUUUUGAUUGUUCCAUGCCAAUAUUAUACAACUUUCAUAUACUUUUUGGCAACUUUUUAUACUAUUUUUGGGACUAACAUAUUGACCAGUGCCCAGUGCCAAUUCCUGUUUGUUGCGUGUUUUUGUUUCACAGAAUAUCCAUAUCAAACGGAGUCCAAACGGGAUAAAAAUGGAUGGAGAUUAUUUUUGGAAUAUUCGGAGAAUAUGGGAAGGAAAAUCCACGCGAGACGGUGCCCGAGGGAGGCACGAGGCAGGGGGCACGCCCCACCCCCCUGGGCGUGCCGAUGACCCUUAUGGGCCCCUCGUAAGGUGGUUGAUGCCCUUCUUUGAGCCGCAAGAAAGCUAAUUUUUGGGGAAAAAUCACGGCGAAGGUUUCAGUCCAAUCGGAGUUACGGAUCUCCAUAUAUAUACGAAACGGUGAAAGGGCAGCAGAAUGGAGGGCAGAAACAGAGAGAGACAGAGAGACAGAUCCAACCUCGGAGGGGCUCUCGCCCCUCCCAUGCCAUGGAGGCCAAGGACCAGAGGGCAAACCCUUCUCCCAUCUAGGGAGGAGGUCAAGGAAGAAGAAGAAGAAGGGGACCCUCUCCCCUUCUCUUCCGGUGGCGCCGGAACGCUGCCGUGGCCACCAUCAUCAUCACCGCAAUCUUCACCAACAACUUCACCACCAUCAUCACCAACUCUCCCCCCUCUAUGCAGCGUUGUAACCUCUCUCUUACCCGCUGUAAUCUCUACUUGAACAUGGUGCUCAACGCUAUAUAUUAUUUCCCAAUGAUGUAUGGCUAUCCUAUGAUGUUUGAGUAGAUCCGUUUUGUCCUAUGGGUUAUUUGAUGAUCAAGAUUGGUUUGAGUUGCAUGUUUUAUUAUUGGUGCUGUCCUAUGCUGCUCUCCGUGUCGCGCAAGCGUGAGUGAUCCCCGCUGUAGGGUGUUGCAAUAGGUUCAUGAUUCGCUUAUAGUGGGUUGCGUGAGUGACUGAAACACAAACCCGAGUAAGGGGGUUGUUGCGUAUGGGAUAAAGAGGACUCGAUGCUUUAAUGCUAUGGUUGGGUUUUACCUUAAUGAUCUUUAGUAGUUGCGGAUGCUUGCUAGAGUUCCAAUCAUAAGUGCAUAUGAUCCAAGUAGAGAAAGUAUGUUAGCUUAUGCCUCUCCCUCAAAUAAAAUUGCAAUAAUGAUUACCGGUCUAGUUAUCGAUUGCCUAGGGACAAAUAACUUUCUCGUAACAAAAAGCUCUUUACUAAAACUAAUUUAGUUGUGUCUUUAUCUAAACAGCCCCUACCUUUUAUUUACGCUCUCUUUAUAUUCUUGCAAACCUAUCUAAAAACACCUACAAAGUACUUCUAGUUUCAUACUUGUUCUAGGUAAAGCGAACGUUAAGCGUGCGUAGAGUUGUAUCGGUGGUCGAUAGAACUUGAGGGAAUAUUUGUUCUACCUUUAGCUCCUCAUUGGGUUCGACACUCUUACUUAUCGAAAGAGGCUACAAUUGAUCCCCUAUACUUGUGGGUUAUCAGCUUGCACGGCAGGGCUAGAGGAGGUGUGUCUGGGCACCCAUGAGCCAGCGCGGGACUCAUGGGGCCCUACCUCAAGGCGGGUUGCGCCUGGUCUUGAUUGAGAGCACUUGUAAUAAUCCUGCGAGAUGGUUAGGCAACGUGCGCCGAGUGAAUCCCUUGAGGCUACCACAUGAGAAGGCCAGACACCAAUGGCCCCAGGAAGUGACGUGAACGGGGCCUGCCCGCCAGACAGAGCUCAUCCGCUGGGUUUAUCGACGUUGCAGGGACGGACCCGAGCACGGACGUUGUGCCUAGUCUUCUCAUGCGGACAUCUUGAAGAAAGACAGCCGGCGCGCGGCUCCCAUAGCGACGAGGCACCGUGUCGUGCGCCCUCACUUAUCCAUCCGCGAUUAGCUCAUCCGAGGGCAAGACACCAAGGACCAUGGGAGGUGACGUACACGGGAGCUGGCCCGUGAGCCAGAGCUCAGCCUCUUGGGUUUAGCAACGCUACAGGGAAGGACCUGAGCACAGACACCGUGCCAGUCCUUAAUCAUGAGGCAGUCGUGGGUGGAUUUGCAAGGGUGUACGACGUUCAUGGCAACGAAGUACCGGACAUGCAGAUGAUAAUCAUAAAGCGACUGAUGGAAAGGGUAACGCUAGUUCAGGUAGAUGCAAGAAUGAUACAUGCCACAGGGAUGGACCCAUGCGGCCUGGGGAUGAUGCAGCCCGAGGGGCGCCCCCAACAAGGUAAAUUAAAGAUGCAAAAAGAUACAUGUCGCAGGGACAGACCCGUGCGACCUGGGAAAAAUGCAGCCCGAGGGGCGCCCCCAACUGAACAAACUGGAAAAUGUCACCUGGCACCGUUGCUGAAGGGAUGUUGGAAGCUGAAGACGCUUGUCGAAGAAGUCGCUCUUCACAAGCCGCCUGGGUCAUGAGCCUCAGGAGCCUCUGGGGGUCCGGGGGGGCUCAUGAAGAACUGUCGCCAUCUCCGUUAAGACCGCCUGGUGCCUGGUCUCCUGAGCUGCCAGGACGCGCCGCGGGUGGCGCUGGAAGGAGACAGCCGUGUUCAGCAGGCUAUAAGGCAUGCGAACGUAGUUGUGAGGGGGGCCCUCACACCGACCAACGCGCGAUGGCUAGAAGCGCUCCUGAGACGCAGCCCUGUUGAGCCCGAGGUAGUCGAUGCAGACGCGCAGCUCGCUGUCCUCGCCUGGACAAGGAGCUGCGCCAGGUGGUAGGCGGCGGUCGCCGCGCAUGGCUCUUGCCUCUUGAAGCUCCUCGGUCGUCUUGGUGAUGAACUCCUGAGCACCAGGCACCUCGUGCCUCGUGCCCUCAUGCGGGAAGCGUGCGAUGAAGCAUGCCCCCAUGUGGUGCCCGAGCGCCUCCCUCGUGACGUUGCCUAGUUCAGAGGCCCUCCAGAGGAGAGCCCCCGAGCCCAGCCUAAGAGGGGCGAUGGGCGCGCCUUCCUAUGCGAGGGAGGGAGGCACCCCAUUCGCGGACACAUGUCUUGAGGUGGUGCGGCUGGAGACUACGACUCCUAAGGCUUUUGGUUGAAAAGCUGCUUCUUCUUCUUGGGGACAGCCUCGGGAGGGUAGACGGCACCUUCGUUGUCCGGGUCCUCGACUUCCGCAGCCUAGUAGGCGCGCUCAAGGGAGCACACGGCGUCCUUCUCCUCGCAGGCGAUCUUGAUGAUGUCACGGCUCCCUGGCAUCUUGAGGACGUUGUAGCCAUGAUGGGUCACCGCCAUGAACUUGGCCAGGGCCGUAUACCAAGGAUGGCAUUGUACGGUAGGCAGAUGUGGGCGACGUCGAAGUCGAUGAGCUCGGUGCGGUAGUUGUCGUGUUGGCCGAAGGUGACAGGGAGGCGGAUCUGCCCUAUCGGGGUGGUGGAGCCGUCAGUCACUCCUGAGAAAGGCUUGGUGGGCUGUAGCUGAUCGUAUGGCACUUGGAGGCGGUCGAACGUCUCGAUGGAAAGGACAUUGAGCCCUGCACCACCAUCGAUGAGUGUCUUGGUGACAAGGACAUUGCUGAUGAUGGGUGAAUAGAGCAUAGGGAGGGCGCCGGCAGUGGUCGCGCACUUGAGCUGGUCGGACGAGCCAAAGGUGAUGGUGCACUUGGACCACCUAAGCGGGCACGUUGCCUCGAGCCUGGGGAGAGCCGCAUUCACCUCACGGGCGAACUGCUUGAAGAUGCACUGAGAGGCUGGGGCCUGAGCAUCACCCAAGAUGCAGGCGAUGGCGCGUGGCUCCUGGAAGCCCCCAACCCCCUCAUCCUGGUCGUCGUUCCUCCUUGGUGGUGGUGGCAGUGGAGGGAGGCCCACCUUGCCCUGAGGACGGUCCUCACGAGGCUGAUCCCUCCGGGCGUCCUCGCGAGGCUGGCCCUACCAGCGAUCCUCAUGAGGCUGGUCGCGCCACUCCUGGCGGGGACCGCGGUCGUCCCAGUGUCCUCCACUUCGUCCUCCUCCAUGGACGUAGCCUCGGUCGUUGCGCUCAGGGCGUCGACUGAAGCGCCCGUCGCGGAUGGCCCUGAGCUCUUGACAGUCGCUGGUGUUGUGGCUGUGCACGUUGUGGAAGGCGCAGAAUGGGCGACUGCCCUUGGAUGACUCCGGGUGGUCGAGGCCGCGCUUCAUCUCUGGCUCAGCCGCAAGCACGGCCGCUCCCUUGCGCUUCACAUCCUUGGCCCUGGCCUUCUUGUCUUCUGGGUCUGCAGCUGGGAGCUCAAGGAGGGAGAGGCGCCCUUCCUCAGCUCUCGCGCACUUGGUCGCCAUGUUGAACAUCUCCAGAGCCGUGCACAGGUCCUCGUGUAUGGCGAGCUCCUCUUUCAUCUUGACAUCAUGGACGCCAUCAGAGAAUGCGGAGAUGAUGGCCUCGUCUGUCACCUUGGGGAUCUUGAGGCGAACGUUGUUGAAGUGCUGGAUGUACUUCUGCAGGGUUUCCCCUGGCUGCUGCUUGAUGCGCCGCAGGUCACCCGCGGCAGGUGGGCAGUCGCGAGUACCCUGGAAGUUGGCGACGAAACGCUCACGCAUCUCGCCCUAGGAGGAGAUCCAUCCCGCGGGCAGGUCGAGGAGCCAUGAGCGCGCGCCGUCCUUGAGAGCCUUGGGAAACCAGUUCGCCAUGACCUUCUCGUCGCCGUUGGCCGCCUCGAUGCUUAGCUCAUAGAGCUGCAGGAACUCAGCAAGGUCGGGGGUGCCGUCGUAGCGCGGAGGCAGGUCGGGCUUGAACUUCCCGCGCUAGACGACGCUGCGCAGCUCGGGAGUAAAGGCACGGCAACCCGUUGUAGUCGCUGGAGCCCGUCGUGGAGGCGGAGCCUGGUCUUGGUACCCACGCGCCGCCACCGCAGGCGGCGCACGGUCUUGACGCGGUGGUGCCGGGAGCACGGGAGCAUCUUCUUGCGGCCACGGAACCUCGGCAGCUUCCUUCUUCACGCGCGGGCAUCCUACGCGGCAGGUCGUGCCGCGGGGCCGCGCGCCUUGGUGCGAGGGCGACGUCUUGACGGGGAGGUGGUGAAGGCGCUCCAUUGGCUACGUCGCCCGCGGCAGGCACCGGGCGAGGCAGCGAGAGAGACGGUGCGGGAGAACCCCCAGUGGCGCUGACGAGCUCGGUGAUGCGGUCCAGCCAGUCCUCGUAGAGGUCGUCGACGGGGCAGUAGCGCAGGAGCUCGCGCGCCAAGAGUAGCGAAGCCUGUGCGUCCGCAGGCCCACGACGAGCGUGGGACGACGAGCCGGCCGGAGUCAGCGACGGGGUGGUGGUACAUCCAUCCCGCCGCAUGGAGGGGUGCAGCGACGAAGCUUGUUGCUCGUGCCCGCCGUGCCAGUGGCAGCGUUGGCUGCGGGUGAUGGAGAGCGACGGGGAGGCCCGCCGACAGGCGCUGUCUGGGCGACGCGGGUGGCGAGAGCGGCUCGGCGCUCAGCGCGGGCUCGGCGAGCAUCAGCCAUGGAAGCAGUGGAGCGGUGCGUCGACUGACGAAGAAGAGGCUUCGGCACACCCCUACCUAGCGCGCCAAAUGUCGGAUUUUGGGUUCCGUAGACCCUUGAGAGGUUUGAACUCUGGGGUGCGCAUGAAUAACACUUUCUCCCCAGCCUGCUCACUCAACGAUUCCACGGCCUAACUCGACGAACCCAAAGAAUAGGUGACACGGGGGUUUAUACUAGUUUGGUCCACCUUGCGGUGUAAUACACUACUCCAGUUUUGUGGUGGAUUGCCUUGAGGGACUGAGGAUGAACUAGUAUAGUGGAUGAACGACCUCAGGAGGUGAGGUGUUCUUGAGCUCGAUGAGCUGGUGAGAUGGCCUUGGUGGAAUGGAUCCAGCCGAAGAUGAGAUGCCCCCUAUGGUGGUGGCUAAGUCCUAUUUAUAGUGGUCUUGGUCCUCUUCCCAAAUGUAGGCGGGAAGGGAUCCCACAACGGCCAAGUUUGAAGGAAGACAACUAGUACAAGCUAUCCUGACAAAAGUAGUCUUCGCCUACCAAAGGCUCUGGUGGUGACGUCGCUAUGGGCUCCGCGAUGACCUCCGUCCUGCCGUCUUGGUGGUCUUGGUCUUGUUGCACCGACAAGGAAACCUUUGCUUGAUUCCUCGGGACUCCGCGUCUGCGCUUGCCUCCUUAGCACCAAAGAGGAAACUGGUACGCUGCACCCGUUGGCGCCUGCCUGGCCUUGGUCGUCAUGGCUCACGUCAUGUGAACCUCGCGAGGUGCGCCUUGCAUAGAUAUCUCUGCUCCUUGGGAGCCAGCCUAGCUAGGCCACUCCCAGGGAGGUCUUGGUGUCGUCCGCCUCGCGAGGCUUGGCCCCUCGCGAGGGUCUUGAGCUGUUGCUACUGAAGCUGGGCCGUACCGGGCCGUUGAUGGAGCCACGCCUUGGGCCGCAGGCAGGCAAGUCUGGGUACCCCCAUUCCCUGGACGCCGACACCAUCCAGGAGCGAGCUAGCUAGCUAGCUCCUCCGUCACCGCGCGCUGCGGCCGGGGCGGACGACGCAGACGGGCGGGCGCGGUGGCCGGGUCGGACANNNNNNNNNNNNNNNNNNNNNNNNNNNNNNNNNNNNNNNNNNNNNNNNNNNNNNNNNNNNNNNNNNNNNNNNNNNNNNNNNNNNNNNNNNNNNNNNNNNNNNNNNNNNNNNNNNNNNNNNNNNNNNNNNNNNNNNNNNNNNNNNNNNNNNNNNNNNNNNNNNNNNNNNNNNNNNNNNNNNNNNNNNNNNNNNNNNNNNNNNNNNNNNNNNNNNNNNNNNNNNNNNNNNNNNNNNNNNNNNNNNNNNNNNNNNNNNNNNNNNNNNNNNNNNNNNNNNNNNNNNNNNNNNNNNNNNNNNNNNNNNNNNNNNNNNNNNNNNNNNNNNNNNNNNNNNNNNNNNNNNNNNNNNNNNNNNNNNNNNNNNNNNNNNNNNNNNNNNNNNNNNNNNNNNNNNNNNNNNNNNNNNNNNNNNNNNNNNNNNNNNNNNNNNNNNNNNNNCGGCCGGGCGGCCGGGCGAGCUUCAUGGUGUUGGCAGGAGCAGAGAUUUCUCAACCGCCCUGGAAAAGUUGCCUUCAAAACUGUAGAUACGAGGGUUUCGGCUUCGUAUUUACGGGGCCCCUUAAAAAAAUUAAGGGUCGGACGAUUUUAAAGGGUCUGUUCGGGCCCGUUUUUUCAACUGGAAUUGUAAAAAAUAGUUAUUUUGCGGGUUUAACCACUUAUGCGGGUCUGCUAGAGAUGCUCUCAGCGAGACAGAAGGAAGUCUCACUUAAGGCGAGAAAUAGUCAUCGCGUCUUAUUCAGGCGCAUCCGGGAGAUCCUCGUCAGUUCAUGAACAACAAGCAAUUGUCUUUUUGAACAUGAAUUAUAGCUUGAUGUAUAGCGGGGAACACUACGGUGCAACACACGUACAUAAUAGGAUUAAGAAAAAAUCCACAUUACUCUCUCUAUAUAUAUAUGUCAGUUUCUUCACGUAUAUCACAGUUAGAUAACCGGAGUGGGGAAGAACAGUGGUGCCGUAUGAUACGGGGCUAUCGCGUGUAUGCACAUAUCUAUACCGACUCUGCCCACAAAUGGAAAUAUAAAAAGUAGCAUUGAUGUGCGCUAGUGGGGAAUCCAGACUCUCUGGGAAGGCCUUAAUCCUGUUGAUUUCGACAUUCUACUUUACGUCCCCUGUUACUAAAUUCUAUUUCAGUAUUUUACCUUUAUGCUCGCAACCCGGUUUUCACCAUUUUACUACUAUGUUGGAUUUCCUACAACUUGCAGGCAUGGCUAUUUAAAAAGUAAAUGUGGAUGUCUGGGUAGUGCACCCACUAGAUUAAUUACACAUGUAAUCCGCCAACACUAAAUGCAAAUUUGCAACACACUUAUCUAUAUAUUAAAUGAGGGCAUAUCUUAGCAUGAUAUGGUCAGUCUUAUUAAUGCUUUAACAAAUAUACCAAUCUUAGAAAAUCAAUUUUAGCAAAAAAAAAGCCCGCGAGCAUUCAAUAUGGUUACCAGAUAUCGCAAGGCCAUCCAUAAGAUUUAAGAUCUUAUCCAACAAACUAAAUCUACAUGUAGAUUUGUUGGAUGGAGAGAUGUGGUAUUUAAGUGUGCUCACCACCAUAGCCCAUAUAAAAAACCAUGUGGUGUAGAAGUCUUGCAUAACCAAAGAUUGAUCAACACACCUGCCUAGUGUUAACAUCUUCCACAAGAAAGAUGGCUAGUUCUAAAGUAAUGUGGGUGUUCUGCCUCCUAGCUUUACUGGCUUUCACUUCUUGUUCUUAUCAUGUACGAGCAGAAGAUCAUGCCACCAAGGAGAAAAAUGAGGUGAUGGAGUAUUGCNNNNNNNNNNNNNNNNNNNNNNNNNNNNNNNNNNNNNNNNNNNNNNNNNNNNNNNNNNNNNNNNNNNNNNNNNNNNNNNNNNNNNNNNNNNNNNNNNNNNNNNNNNNNNNNNNNNNNNNNNNNNNNNNNNNNNNNNNNNNNNNNNNNNNNNNNNNNNNNNNNNNNNNNNNNNNNNNNNNNNNNNNNNNNNNNNNNNNNNNNNNNNNNNNNNNNNNNNNNNNNNNNNNNNNNNNNNNNNNNNNNNNNNNNNNNNNNNNNNNNNNNNNNNNNNNNNNNNNNNNNNNNNNNNNNNNNNNNNNNNNNNNNNNNNNNNNNNNNNNNNNNNNNNNNNNNNNNNNNNNNNNNNNNNNNNNNNNNNNNNNNNNNNNNNNNNNNNNNNNNNNNNNNNNNNNNNNNNNNNNNNNNNNNNNNNNNNNNNNNNNUGUAAUUUCCAAGCUUAUCUUCAUGAGAUUAAUUACUUACGAGGAACACAAUGUCAUAUGUAGGUUUCAUCGUUCCAGAUUAUAGUGCGCCACCACCUCCAGAACACUAAUCGUAAGGCCGGUACGGUCAAAUUAGGAGAGGAGUGUUAUAAUAUGGAGCACUUAGUCUAAGGCAAUCUUAUCGAACAAAGGAAGGGAUGCUAUGAUAUUGAUGCUUUAUCAUAGGACCUCUGCAAUAAUGUAUCUUACUUUUAAUUUUAUGACUAAUAAAAGGACUGCCCGCAUGUUCUCUUUGUGUUUAGCAUGAUAUUUAGUUGUCCAUCGACAUACAUGGCCUCAACCAAUGACUUUCAAUUCUGAUAAAAUAGACUGCUGAAUUAAAUCCAAAGUCUUGUAAACAAACAUAGCUUGUUCUAUUCAUAAUAAUCACUAUAAUAAACACUAAUAAAAA